UAAUGAUAAUAAUGGGUAUUUAGAGAUGAGGGGUCCAGGAGUAGUACCAGAGAGAUGAUGAUGACGGCGGAGGAGAGGAAGGAGGACGAGGCGUUGCACGCUGGCAACCUUAGAAUCGACCUUCGCAAAAUCCCUCUCUAACUUUUCAAAAUUUACAAAUUUGAUUUAAUAUUUAUCUCAUUUAUCAUAAAAGUCCCUAUUAAAUUUUAAAAAUAACCAAAACAUUAAGUAUUUUUUUUAACUUCCAACCCACAAAGAAAUUGUUAUUUUGAGAUUCGUUGCACACUAACUCUCCUCACACAAAAAAAAAAAAGAAAUUAUUUUAUCUUAUUGAGUUUAUAAAAAUGAUUUUUCUUCAAUGAAUCUUAUGACACUUAAAAUUCAAUUUGAUGUUUACAUUACAUAGGUGGGUUCUAAUAACAAAUUUUCAAAAUUGAAAGAGAUUGAUAGGCUAACAAGAAAAAUAGCUGAUACUAAAAAAGAUAAAUUGUAUUAAUUGAUUUAUUUAUUGAUAACAUUAGCAUUGAUUUUACUAGUUGUCAUGACUAUAGUAGUAAAAUGCAUUUUCAACUAUGGAUUUUGUGAAAAAUCUUCUGUGAAAUCAAAUUAGAGAUUAAUAAUUGAGUAAUAUUAUUGUUGCACACGUAGAAAAAGAUUUAUUUUGUAUUCUUGAUGAUAAGUUUAUUUUUUAACGUUUUUUACAUAUGAAAACAUGUCGAGAUCAAUUAUAAAUGUAUUGAAUAUAUUAAUGAAUUUUUAUUUUUGAUACUUGUUACUUAUUGACUUUUUUUAGAUUACAUUAUUAUUUAAACUUAGCCCUUACUAAGAUAAAUUUCUGGCACCGCCACUGCUUUGAAUUGUACCAUAAUAGAAUUAUUAAGGAGAGGAACAACCUUCGGACUGUGUCAUGAUAAAAUUAUUAAGGAAAGUCUCAAUCGAUAGAAGAGUUAUGAUCAAUUUCUAAGUAUAAAUAUCAUUAGAUCUCUAAUUGUAAUAUAUCAAAAUAUAUAUAAAAAAAAAAAACUAUUUGCAACAUCAUUAUUCUUAUUCUAAUAUCAUGUUUGGAUGUUACCAAAUAAAACUGAAACUCUUCAAAGCGCACAUCUCAAACUACUACAACUUAUAACUACUUUUUUGAAUUAAAUAAAUAUCAUUAAUCUAAAGUUCUCCUAGUUCGAGGAUCCAAAAACGAACACUAUGAAUUCAAUGUAAAUUGGGUUUGGGAUCUUGAAUGACUGUGAAAGUUGGAAUGCAUUUUUUUUUUAAUUUUUGUGCAUUUUUUUUUAAUUUUUGUGCAUUUGUUGUUUAAAUAAAUAUUAUCUUCAGAAUUAAAGUGAGUGCUGAUAGCAGCAAGUGAUUUUAUAGUAUAAUUUAAUAGUGUUUACUUAAAAAAGGGUAACAAUAGGAUUUUAGAGAUGUGACAAUCCUUUAGCAAACUUAUCAUUUAUGUAAUAUUAAUAUAAAACUACAUCUUUCAAGCAUUGCAUUGAAACAUAAUCACAGAAUGCGCUUAUGGUCUUACAAAAACAUGUGCUACGUACUAGCAAGAUGUUAUUAUUGUUACUAUACAUUGCGGUUCCAUGCGUGCUUGUUGAAUAAUUUAUGUAUGACUGCCAGAUGGAUCUCUCAGAGGUGGUGGUGGAUGACCGACACGACGACGAGCAAAGGAUGGUUGCAAAAGAAGAAGCAUUAUUAUGCAGCAUAACUCCGAAAGAAACCAAAGCAGAUUGUUCAGCUUCAUCUCAUUUCUCAUUUUAAUUGCCCUCUUACCACAUAGAGUUUUCUAAAGAUGUAUACAAAAUUAUUAGAUGAAUGAGAAGAUAUAAGUUAUUAUAUAGGCCCCUUUCCUUCAACCAUUUUCCAGUCAAAAAAUUAUAAAAAACAAACGCAAAUAAGUCAAGUCAAUUUUCAUCUUGAACAAGUCGAAUGCAUAUAUAUUUUACCCGAUAUUCCUAUCCUAAGUGUGAAUCCAUAAAAGAAGUUGCUGACUUAAUUUUCUUGUUUCUCACUUUAUUUAAUUUUUAUAAAUUUGUCUCACGAUCAAUUAAUUGAAGAGUUUGGUGGAAAUUCAAUUUACUAUAAUCAGAUCAAUGUAAUUUAAUUAUUUUUCUAUUUACUUGAUGUCAGGAAAAUUAUGAAUACUUUGUAGAAUUUAAAGGAUUAAAAAUUCUAAUGCAUAUAAUUUUAUUUUUCAAACUGAAUAAACAUAUCAUUAUUGCUUCUUAGAACCUAUUACUUGUAUUUUAUGUUUCUGUCUCUUUUCAUAAUUUUUUUUUUACUUGAAAAUGUUAAUAAUCAUAAUAAAUUAGAUUGAAUUAAUAAUUUUUGCCUCUGUGAUAUAAAUAAUCGGUUUAUUGGAUUUUCUUCUCUUUCAUUGAUUUUGCAACUGUGACUUCUGAGUCCGGUUAAGGAUUAACAAAAACGUUGUAACCCACAAAGCACGCAUAAUCAAUGAAUGAGCCACACAGUUUUUGUAAAUAUCAGAACCAAAUGGGUGGUAUCUAUCACAAAUACAAGUCAAGCCACACAAUUUUUCUUCUUAUACUACUUAUUGGCACUUGUGAUCCUUGAAUUAUCAAACGAAUAGCAGGAACACUUCAACAUCUGUUGUCAUAGGGAGAGAAGUCCGCUCUCCCUUCGAUGUAAUACGCGGGCAAUUUACAUUGACUUUUCAUCAAAACAAGCAUUGUCCAAUUCAUUUGCACGGGGACAUUCCCCCCAUUCUUGUCUCAUAUGCGGGUGGGCACAAGCCGGUUUGGUUCGAGGGCAGAACCAAACUAAGAUCGAAACGAACUGAAACAAAUUAUUUUGGUUCGGUUUUGUUGGGCUUGCUUUGGAUAAUAAUUUUGAUAACUUUUCUUUUAUAUUUACUAAAAUUUUACACUUUUCACCUAAAUUUGUAUUCUUCUGUUAAUUCAAUUCAGUUGUGACCAUUACAAUUCAUGAGUUAUACAAAAUAUUAAUGUAAAAUAAUUUUAUAAUAAAUAAAUAUGGUCAUUUAUUAAAAAGUAAUACUUUUUUAUUUUAAACAGUGAACCAAUUGGUUCUCCAAUUUAUUUUGAACUGAAUUGAAUAAGAACCAUUCGGUUCUUAAAUUUCUAAACUAUUUAGUUUUUUUAAUCUAAAAACUUAAUUCAGAAGCAAACCGAAUACUAAGCCCUAGUGUCAUACUUAUCAUAUUUAAAUUUAAAAAUGUCACCAUAUCAAUAAGGUGAUAUGGAGAUUAUCUCACCUACUUUUUAUGUAUGUAUCUUCAUUAUACAAAAAAUAUAUAUAUAUAUAUAUAUUCGGUGCUCCUACUCAAUGGCAAAAUCAACAUUCUUUGAUGGACACCAAAAUGAUUAAAGUAUAACUUCAAGUUGGUUGUGACAUAAAAUCGGUGUUGUAAAUAGUGCGUUCGUAUAUUAUAAAAUACAAAUAUUCCCACUAAAAAAGAAUUAUUACAUACAUAUAUUUAUAGUGUUUUUACUCAAUUAACUAUUAUACUAUAUGAUGUAAUAGUGGAUCCGAAUGAAAUCUCCAUUUGGUAUCCAGGCCUCAAUAUAUAUAUAUGUUCUUCUAUAUUUUUAAUUCAACAAAUGAUAAUAUGUCACAUUAUUCUAAAACUGGGUAUUAUAUUUAAAAUUCUACAGUACUUAGAGGCUACUAGCCUCUAAUCUUUUGUCAUUAAUUAUUACUUGUUAGAAAAAAUUCAGAUGAAGUAUUGUAUUAAAAAUUUCAUGUACUUACAGGCUAUAGCUAGUCAGCCUCUAGUCUUUUUUCAUUAAUUAUUGCUUGUUAGAAAAUUCAGAUUUUAAUUUGCCAUGAAAUAUGUAUAGGAUCAUGAUCCUCUACGAUCCUUAUAGGUUACAGCUACCUAAUCUUUAAUCUUUUACAAGACUGGCUUUAACCAAUUGGGGCCUUAGGCAAAAUUUUAUUUUAGGUCCUCUAAUAUUAAAAUAUCAACUCCCACAAGAACAUUAAAUAGUUCAAAAAACUCUCACAAGAACAUUAAGUAACUCAAAAUUCAACUAUAUUUAAUAAUAUCUUGAAUUACAAAAAUUAUCAACAAGAUUCCAAAAAAAAAAUAAUAAUACGAAAGAUAUCUAUUUAUUUCCACACGAAUAUUAACUGACUUUGUCUUCCACAAAUUCCACCUUCUUAAGAUAGUCUGCAUCUUCAUCAGCCAUAACCAUAAUCUUCCUAUGAACUUUAAAUCACUGCUCCUACCUACUAUGAUCCUUGCUUGCUGCAAGCCAUCACUAAUGCAAAUUACUAAUCAAUUAAGUUUUAUUCUUCUUUCUUUUGUGAUGCAAAAUUAUUAAUUAAAAUGUUAUAUUCUAAUUUAGCUAACAAAUAUUUUUCAAUAGCUAAUAUAGCUAAUCCAUUCAAUUUUUCUUGUGAUAUUGUAGUUCUUAAAUAAGAUUUUAUUAACUUUAAUUUAGAAAAACUUGUCUCAACAAAAGCAAUUGUUACAGGUACUGUAAAUAAUAUUCUACAAGUAAGAAAUGCAUUUGGAAAAGAAUCUACCUUUUUAAUAUAAUUAAGUAUAUCAAGUGGAGUAUUUCUUUCAAUAUGCAAAAGUUCUUUUAAGACUUUUAACUCCGAAAACAAAUAUAAUCCAUCAAUAUCAGAAAACAUAUCAUAUUUCAAGAUAUUUUCAAGAUUAGUACAAUAACAUUUUAAACUUUCAUCAUCUAAUGAUUUUAAUUUUUCAAAAUUAAAUAAAAAUCUGAAAAUAUUUUCGUAGAAUUGAAGCUGCUUGAAUCUAUUGCUGAUUGAAGAAAUAUCUUGAUCUAUUACAUAUACAAAGUAAUCAAUUCUAAAAGAAUCUUUAGGAGAUAAUAUUCUCUCUUAGUUAUUAUUCUCACUAAAUUUAUUUUUUCUACAAAUUAUACAUUUUUCAUGAAAUUUUGGUUCUAUUUCCAUUUCAUUUGCAAUCUCUUUAGAUGAAAUCAUAGUAGAGACAAAACCAUUUUCUUUGUAAGCCCCGACAGAUGUACAUAAGACCUCUUAAUUGAUUUAUGACAACAUCAAUUUGCAUAUCUUCCUUCUGUAAACUUUUACUAACAGUGUUCACAACAAAUAAUAUAUCAUACCAAAUAAUCAUACCUAACAAAAAUUCAAAGUUUUCCAUUUCAUAUGUUGCUAAACGUUUAGCUUCGCUUUUUAUUUUAGGAUCUUCACCAACUUCUACUAAUUGAAGUAAAGCAUCUCCAAUUUGGGGUGCUUGAAAUCUUAUGGCUUUAACACUUUCUAUGCGACUCUCUUAACGUGUUUGUGACAAUGAUUUAACAAUUAAAUUAGGUAUAUUAUCUUGUAAAAUUUUUCAUCUCUUAGGUGAAGAAGAAGAUAGUGAAUAAACACGUUGAACAACUCCAAAAAAUGAAAUAACUUUAGGACAAGAAUUAGCCACAUCACAAAGUACUAAGUUAAUACUACGACAACCACAUGGUAUAUAAAAUGCUCUGAGAUUUUUAUCUAAUGAUCUUUUUUGCACACCUGGAUUUUUUUUCCUUUCAUAUUAAAUCCAUUAUCAUAUCCUUGUCCUCUUAUGUUAUUAAUAUCAAGGUCAAGAGUUUUAAUUACAUCCACAAGUUCAUUCAAAAGAGCUUUUCUAAUGGUAUUGUCAACUUAUAAAAAUCUUAAAAAAUAUUAUUCUACCUUGAUUAGAUUUGUUGAAAUAUCCACACAUCUUAAUAUAAGAGACAUUUUUUCUUGGUGGCUUGCAUUUGUAUAAUCAAGUAUAACUGAAAAAUACUUUGCUUCCUUAGCUUUGUUAACAAUUGAUUUUUUUUUUUUUAUUUCAAGUGCUACCAUCAAUACCAAUUCAUUUUGUAUAUUAUUUCCAAGACAAUGAUCAUGAAUUUCACGGAUUUUAAUAUGCCGAAUAUAUUCUUGCAUUGUUGGAUCAAACUCUACAAUCAUUUCAAUUAAACUUAAAAAAAAUUUAAGUUCAAUUAUUUUUAGCAAGAUGCUAAAAUGCUAAAUUAUUUUUGGCAAGAUUCAUUACAACAACCAUAAUUCUUAUUAGUGCUUUUUGUCAAUGCUCUUUUUCUUUGUCAAUUCUUUCUCGAACAUCUUUAUCAAUCAUUUUUCUUUUCGAUAGUUUUACUUCUAAAUCAACCCAUGCAUUCACAUUGGUUUUUUUGUGACUUUAAAGUUUAGAAUAAAGAUUUUUCCAAUCUCUUGUUCCUUUAUCAUUAAGCUGAUUUUUGCUACAAUUUGUAUUGAGUAAUUGCAACAAAAACAAUAUACUUUGUCGAAAUCCGUUGAUUCUAUUAACCAUUUUCUAUCAUGUUUUUCUCCAUUUGGUAAUUUUGACAUGAAAUGCAGUAGAGAAAUGUCUAGGACUUUCAUCUUUGGGGAAAGUUAAAUCAUUCUCUCUAUUUGGGCCUUGUUCUACUAAAAGAUCUCUUAACUUUGUAUCAACAUUUUCCCAUGUUCCUAGAUUAUAAAUAUUAUUUAAAACAAAUAAAUUUCCUACAUCAACUUUGUCUGUAUUUUUAUUGUUAUCAUCUUCAAUGUUGUUUAUUUCAUUCACUGUUUCGUCAUUUUUUAAUUCAUUGGAAAUUGGUUGUUCUGUUAACUUCAUUAUUUAUAGAGUUGGGAUCUUAUGGCAAGUUUAGUUAAAUUGAAAUUUUAUUUAUCACAUAUCUGUUAACAUAUAUGUUUCUAUAAUAUUGAUUUUGAUGAUAACAAACAAGAUUAAGAAUGAUUAAUCUUUUAAGAUCAAAUUAUUUUUUAUACAUUUUAAAUAAAUCAUUAUUUUCACAUUUUAAAGGUUUUAUAUUUAAUGGAAAAAUGAUUUUAUGAAAUUGGUUGUUUUUCAAAGUUUAUGGUUUUAUUGAAAGAGUUUUGAAAACUUUGAAAUCAACAAGUAUUGCUUAAAAUUUUGGAGAAAGACUUAUUUGAAAAGUGUCAUAACAUUUUGGGCUAUAUCAUAAUUUCAGAAAGUUUUGAGAUUAACAAAGCAUUAUUUAGAAAUUCUGAAAGUGGACCUAUUUGCAAACUUUCAUAACGUUUUGGGCCAUAAUACAGUUUUAUAAAGGUUUAGGGUCAAACUGUAAAUUUGAAAAAUAAUUUCACUGUAGCAAUCACUGUAGCAAACGGCUAACCGUUUAUUUAAAAAUGGCUAACCGAUAAUUUUCAGAAAGCAUGUUCUGCAAAGUAUUGUUAAAAUGAUGAUUCUGGAAACUAACGGUGAACCGUUUACUGAAAACGGUUAACCAAUUAUUUCCAGAUUGCUAACCUUGAACCGUUUAGUAAGAACGGUUAAACCAAAUUUGUUUUGCAGGUCUCUGGAAAUUAACGGCGAAAGGGUAAGCCUAAAUGGCUAACCGUUUAUUUGAAAAUUGGCCCAACGGUAACUUUGACCGGCCUAAACGGUUAACCGUUAAUGGUUAACGGCGAACCGUUUUCGAGCAGACAGUCUGUAACGGCUAGUUUUUCAGCUUCAACUAUAAAUAAGCUCAAUCCAAUUCAAACAAGAAGAAUUCCAACGAUCAUCAUUGAGCAAAACAUUGAGAAUACAACUUUCAUUGAGCAUUAAAUCUUUGUAUUCAUCUCAUUCAUUCACACAUUGAGCUUUCACUUGUGAUCAAACACAUUGUGUGAGAGAGAUUCAUUUGUAAUCUUUUUUGUAAAAUCAAGUUAAAAGAUUGUAAGUGUUGGGAUACACUUGGGUUAAGAGAUUGGGGAUAAUCUCUUGUUGUAAAGGUCCAUUGACACCUUGGAAGUCAAUUGUAAGCGUUUGAAGCCUUGGGAGGCUAGCUUAGUGAAAUCCUCAAGCCCGGUGUGCUUGGAGGCGUGGACGUAGGCGGGGAUUGCCGAACCACGUAAAAAUCCUUGAGUUUGCUUUCUCUUCCCUUACUCAUUUAUUAUUGUGCUUUUAUUGAAUUUAUUGUUUUCGAAUUUAUUAAGGCAUUAGAUUAAAUUGUUGUGUGGUUUGCCUAGGAUAAUUUUUAAAAUCACAAUUCACCCCCCUCUUGGGUUGCCUAGUUAGUAUUUCAAUAUCUUGUAAUAAUGAUUAAUUUUUUAAUUCCCUAAUUUAGUGAGAUUCCAAUUUAUUAGAAAUAUUUAUUUCCUAAUUUAAUUAGAUGUCUAAUUUAGCAAGUCAAUUAAUGAUGGGAUUCUAUAAUUGACGCAUGAGAUCUAUUUACAAGAAGAAGUUGGUUCAAAUAAGAAGUUUAUUAAAUGCUCUAGAUGUUUCUUGGGAGACAAGCAAAACAAAAAGAUCAGAUUUAUUCCUAUUCAGAUUCAUAGGAAUUAUAAGGAAAAAAAAUCUUAUUUGGAAAGAAUCCAAGUCUUUUAAGACUUACUAUUUUUGUGAAACCCUAUUACCUAUAUAAAGAGAUGUAUUUCACAAUUAAAGGUAUGCAACACAGAGUAAAAAGUAGAGAUGCAAAAUUCGGCCUCCUCCUUAGAGAAUCUGAAUUUGGCACAUAAUGUUGUGUUGAUUUAUUUUCUUAUCUUCGUUCAUCUCUGUGGAGAGUCUAUGUGGAUCUUGUAUCACUAGACAAUAAAGAAUUGAAUGAUUGUUAUUGAUCACUUUGCGAAGUGUCUUAAGGAUCGUGGAUCAAGAGGAGUAAUGAUUAUUUAAGAGAAGCAGAUUCAGUCUAAGGUUGAGUAAACUAUAUGGUGAUAAACCGUUAGUGAGAGUCUUAAGUAUGGUAAAUUUAUAGGUUGUAACAUCUCAACUUAGUGAAUUACUUUUCAUCUGGGCGUGGCCUUGUAGAUGUAGAAUUGAUUAAUCCGAAUAACGUAAAAAUCUCCGUGUCAUUUAUUUUUUGCAAUUUAUUGUGUUUUUAAAUAUUAAUAUUUUUUAUGUGGAUGAACAGUAACGGUGAACAAUAACAAUGAACAUUAUUUUCAAAAUUUAUUUAAGUUGUUAAUUCUAUGGUUUUAGUUGCCUACAUCUAUUUGCAAUAGAUUUAAAUUCAUUUUAUGUUCAAUAACUAAUUUUCACUUAAAUUUAUAUCUUUUUUAUUAGUUGUGACAAAUUUAUCAAGAGCUCCUUUUUUAGAUUGGGCUGACUUUUCUAUUCUCCUCUUUUUUUUUAGUAGCUUUUCAUAUCCUGAUACAUAUUUUCUAGUUGACAUGUUUUUCAAAUCUAAAAUGCAAACAAAUAAACAAACACAAUUUCUUUUCUAGAUUAUUCAAGCCAUGAUCAAUACGAAAAAUAAAAAAAUAAAUUAAAUUUUAAAAAGGAUAAGAACAGUAAUAAUUAAAAAUAGAAAAAAUAGAAUGAUAGCACUUAGAAUUAAGCUAAUUAACUAGUUGAGUUGAAUAUGAUGAUGGCAAUUAAUUUUGUAGUGAAACAUAAGAGAGCACAACAACUUUGUGCUGAAAGUAUCCUUAAUUCAAUGUAUAUCGGUUUAUAGAUAAUGAGUUUUUAAAUAUAUUUUAAUAGAAUACUAAAAGUUAGCUCUCAAAAAUCUAAUGUUACUAAUUUUUUUGAGAGCUAUUUUUGGAAAGGGAAAGCAUUAGUUUUUUUUUUUGGAAAUAGUAAAAAUAAAAAAUAAAGAAUUAACAUUCAAAAUAACUAUUAUACCAUAAAAAUAUAUCUUAUAUUCCAAGUAAAGAUUAUCAAAUAAGAGAGAUAACUAUGAAUGAGAGUAAUAAUAGGGUAAAGCUAAAAAAUUAGUCUCUUCUAUUGUAGAAAAAAAAAUAUGCCUAACUUAAUUUUUUUAAUCUUAAAAAAAUUAAUUAUACUAAUUAAUAAAUAAAUACCCAAAAAAUUAGGUUUUCCUAAAUACAGGGCCCUAAGCAACUGCCUAGUUCUCCUAGUGCUAAAGUCACCACUGAUCUUUUGUCACUAAUUAUUACUUGUUAGAAAAUUCAUAUUGUUAAUUUGCCAUGAAAAUAUACAUGAUCAUUUUCUAAUCUAAUUUUUUGUAAGGUUUGCAAGAGAAUAAUACCUUUGUAAUUUUAGUUUUGUGAUGGAUAAAUUUUUUGAAAUAAAUUUUAGGCCAUGUAGCAUUAGUAAAGAUAAUGGGUUUUGACUUUUUUACACUAUAAAACUCAUUUACCUGAACUAGGUUUUGUGCACUUAUUAUUCAUGUAAAUAUAAUUUUAUUAAUCAUUUUAUAUAUACUUCAUUAAUUUAAAUCAAUAUAUAUACAUUCCACUACUUUUAGCGACCUUUGCCUCAGGUAUUGGCUCUACUAACAGAUGCUAAAACAAAUCUCAUGCUUUCUAUAUUUAAAACUUAUAAGCUUCAAAUCUACAGAAAAAGUAGAUUUUAAUACAGAAAUUAACCCCCCCAAAAAAAAACUCAUAAGCUAUCAUAGAUUAAGAUGGCUAGCAGGAAAUAAAACUAACACAUAUUUACAAAUAUUCUACAAGCAAUAUUAAGCAUCCUAACAUCGAAGUCUUAAUUUGAGUUUCAACUGACAUGACAUUAAUUCAUUAAAUGAUAAUUAAGUAAUUUUAUAAAUUAUAAAUUCAUCAUUCAAUGGCUGAGUAAGGCAUGCAUUAAACUUAACUUGGGACUCAAAUGUUAAAAUCCUUAACUUUAUUGAUAAUAAUACUACAUCUAGAUGGAAAUAAAAUCACCAAAAAUCUAUGUAUUUGGGUGGAAAAUUGGAAAUAGAACACUUUCAAGUUAAAAACUAAAAGAAAGUACUAAAAUUAAAAAGAGGGUGUUAACAUGAGAGGAAGUAGAAGCUUCCUCCCCCUGAAGUAUAUGGAUGCUUUUGCUGUGAAGCAAAGAUGAGCACAGAGAGAGACAGAAAGAGAAAAGUAGCUUCUACUUCUUAUAAGAUUCCACUUAAAUUUGCACAAAUAACUAUCAGGCAACUAAUCCAAAUAAGUGAAGCUCUCAAAGGACGAAUAUACCAAUAAAAGAUAAUGUUUUUUUUUUUCACGUAUGGAGACGGCGGCGAACGCAAUAGACAAUCUUUGAUGUGACCUGUUGUGUUGAUGCGAGAUUCUGGUUGUCCUCGUUUUACGACCAGGGUCUCUGCUCGAUCAACUUCACCACGACCAGGAUCUCUCCUCGUAAAGCUUCUUCUCCAGAGGUUCCUGCACACACAGACAGGUCAGAGUACGCCGGUUGUUUUCCCGGCGCAAACCCUCCGACGCUCAAGUCAGAUAUGAAGGUUCGGGGAACACUUGCCACAGAUCUUAUGGCUUUUGGGUAGUUUUCUCUUCUUUAGAAUUUCUUUUAUCUCUCUUCUAAUCUCAAAAUUGCUAACCUUUUUACCUUCGUUGGCUACCUUUUUAUAGGUUUCCUCUGAAUCCCAGUUUUCCGCAGUCUACGUCCGUUAUCCUCCCACCUCUCGAACGUGGAUUCCCCAUUUCCGUAGUCGUGGGUGGUUGCGUGGCCUUCGUGCCUAGAUUCUCGGGCUGGAGAGCAUGCCUUGCCAACUGUCGUUGACCGGGUCUCCUCGAAUCAACCCUUAGCAAGAAUACAGCAGGAAUGGCUUUAUGCUUCUUACAGGAAAUUGGCCUCGCGGAUGACGUGCUCGUGGAUGAGCAGGAUAUUCCUGCCCCUGUUUCCCUGCUACCUGGCUCUUACAGGACACACCUGCUCGCAGACUUCUGCCACCAAACAUCUGCUCAUCACGUCUGGUCUCGUCGGAGUAUUUCCCUCAAACACCGGUCCCCCAGUUUCUGGUGUUGGGUAAUGUAAUGGACCAGCAGUAGAAACUUAGCGGUUCUUGGUCGGGUGGGACUGGAAAGGGCCUCGAGGAGGAGCUGACCAAGGUCAAGGAGGAUCUUCAAAGGCAGAAGGCUAUGUAUGAGGCUCAGCUCGAAUCUCUCCGUGAUUCCCACCGGGUUCAGGUCGAGAACUUAGAGAAGGAGGCUGACAACCAGUACGACCAGGGACUUCGGCAUUCCUAUCGUUGCAUCAUGGCCGUCCUCGGGAAGCAACACCCUGAUCUGAAGAUGGAUGACCUUGCAGCUGGUGUUGCUCAACAUAUGGACGAGGAGGCGGCCAAGGAAGACGAUGAAGGGGUAGAGCCGAUAGUGAUUGAGGAGGAAAACUCUCCUCCUCGUGCAGUACCUGCUGAUGUUGGCGAGGCGAGCACCCCCCGGACGCAACUGGUGAUACCCCCCCUGCACCUGAGGAGGUCCAGCCAACUGAUGCUGCUCGGCUUACUGAUCCACCAUCUUCUUGAUAUAUUUCUUGCAUUGUAAUGAACAAUGUUUGUGAAGAUUAUCUCUUCUGUUAAUUAUUAACAAAUUAAUAAAGAUGUUUUUGAUUACUUUCUUGUGUUGUAAUCAUGAGUUAUUUUUCGUUUAAGACUUUGCUCGUCAUCGUCUGGUUGAGCAGGUUCUGGCUUGGCAUAUGGUUUUGCCACAUGCCCUAGAAAAUUCUUCAAUGCUUGAGAUUCUGCUCGCCUUCGCGUGGUCGAGCAGAUCCUGGUAUGCUUGGCUUCUGUCUCGCCAUAAAUAGGCUUUGAGACUUGACGAGCCUUUGCAUGCCUUAGAAAAUAUUCGGAUGCUUGGGGAUUCUGCUCGCCGUCACGUGGUCGAGCAGAUCCUGGCACGCUUGGCUUCUGUCUCGCCAUAAACAGGCUUUGAGACUUGGUGAGCCUUUGCAUGCCUUAGAAAAUAUUCGGAUGCUUGGGGAUUCUGCUCGCCGUCACGUGGUCGAGCAGAUCCUGGCACGCUUGGCUUCUGUCUCGCCAUAAACAGGCUUUGAGACUUGGUGAGCCUUUGCAUGCCUUAGGUAAUUUCUUCAAAGCUUGGGAUUCUGCUUGCCUUCUCGUGGCCGAGCAGAUCCUGGCACGCUUGGCUUCUGGUCUCGCCAUAAACAGGCUUUGAGACUUUGUCGAGCCUUUGCAUGCCUUAGGUAGUUUCUUCAAAGCUUGGGAUUCUGCUUGCCUUCUCGUGGCCGAGCAGAUCCUGGCACGCUUGGCUUCUGGUCUCGCCAUAAACAGGCUUUGAGACUUGUCGAGCCUUUGCAUGCCUUAGGUAGUUUCUUCAAAGCUUGGGAUUCUGCUUGCCUUCUCGUGGCCGAGCAGAUCCUGGCACGCUUGGCUUCUGGUCUCGCCAUAAACAGGCUUUGAGACUUUGUCGAGCCUUUGCAUGCCUUAGAUAAUUUCUUCAAAGCUGGGGAUUCUGCUCGUCUUCUCGUGGCCGAGCAGAUCCUGGCACGCUUGGCUUCUGGUCUCGCCAUAAACAGGCUUUGAGACUUGUCGAGCCUUUGCAUGCCUUAGGUAAUUUCUUCGAAGCUUGGGAUUCUGCUAGCCUUCUCGUGGCCGAGCAGAUCCUGGCACGCUUGGCUUCUGGUCUCGCCAUAAACAGGCUUUGAGACUUUGUCGAGCCUUUGCAUGCCUUAGAUAAUUUCUUCAAAGCUGGGGAUUCUGCUCGCCUUCUCGUGGCCGAGCAGAUCCUGGCACGCUUGGCUUCUGGUCUCGCCAUAAACAGGCUUUGAGACUUUGUCGAGCCUUUGCAUGCCUUAGAUAAUUUCUUCAAAGCUGGGGACUCUGCUCGCCUUCUCGUGGCCGAGCAGAUCCUGGCACGCUUGGCUUCUGGUCUCGCCAUAAACAGGCUUUGAGACUUGUCGAGCCUUUGCAUGCCUUAGGUAAUUUCUUCAAAGCUUGGGAUUCUGCUAGCCUUCUCGUGGCCGAGCAGAUCCUGGCACGCUUGGCUUCUGGUCUCGCCAUAAACAGGCUUUGAGACUUUGUCGAGCCUUUGCAUGCCUUAGGAAUUUUUCACAGUUUCAAGCGAAUGAAAUUCCUCGACGUUCCAUUCAUGGCAGGAUUCAACUUACAUGAAAUUGUUUGGACAUAAAACAUAAAAAGAUAAACGAUAAUGAACACGAGCAGAAAUAGCUUUCAAAUGUGAACAAGUCUUACUGGAAGUAUUUUCGGAGGUGUGCUGCGUUCCAUGGGCGUUUCACCUCGUGGCCGUCCGUGCGAACCAGCUUGUAAGCUCCGGGUCCCACUAUCUGCUUGACUCUAUAUGGCCCUUCCCAAUUCGGUCCCAGCACUCCUUGAGUCGAAUCUUUGGUGCUCUGAUUCACUCUUCUCAGUACCCAGUCUCCGACCCUGAAUUGCCGUACAUUCACCUUCUGGUUAUAAUAACGAGCAACCCUUUGCUGGUAAAUGGCUGAUCGACCAGCUGCUUGCUCCCUCUUCUCCGUUAGCAGAUCAAGAUUCAAACACAUCUGCUCGUCGUUCUCCUGCUCAUUGAAAUGGUCUGUCCGGUGCGUGGUCGUUCCUAUCUCAGCUGGUACGACCGCUUCAUGUCCGAAAGCCAGGGCGAACGGUGUCUCCCCAGUUGCUGUUUUGUGGGUUGUCCUGUAUGCCCAUAGGACACCUGACAGCUCAUCAACCCAUGUACCCUUUUUUGCUCCAAGCCUGGUUUUCAAAAGUCUCUUGAUGGUCUUGUUGGCUGCUUCUACUUGUCCAUUCGAUUGAGGGUGAGCAGGCGAGCAAUACUUCAGCUCUAUCCCGAGGUUCUUGCAGAAAUCCCUAAAGCUGUGAUUAUCGAACUGCCUGCCAUUAUCCGUUACCAAGGCAUAAGGGAUCCCGUAUCGACAGACCAGGUUUCUCCACACAAAGUCUGUCGUUUUCUUCUCUGUAAUCCUGUUAAGGGCUUCGACCUCUAUCCACUUCGUGAAGUAAUCUAUAGCAACUAUUGCAUGCGUUGCUGCUCCUCGUCCCUUUGGCAGCGGGCCGAUCAGAUCAAUUCCCCAUUGAGCAAAUGGCCAAGGGGAGGCCAUAGAGGUGAGCUUCUCUGGUGGUUGGUUGGGGAAACUUGCAAAACUCUGGCAGCUUACACAGCUCCUGGUCUUCUCCUGUGCAUCCUGUGCAUUGUCGGCCAGAAAUAUCCCUGCCUUAGAACCUUGUGGGCCAGGGAUCUCCCACCAGAAUGAUUCCCGCAAAUUCCUUCAUGUACUUCUCUCAGUACGUAAUCCGCGUCGUCCUCAUCCAAACAUCGAAGGAAAGGUAGUGUAUAUCCUCGCCGAUACAGUAUCCCAUCAAUCAUGGUGUAUCUCGAGGCCUGAGCUCUAAUCUUCCGAGCUCGCAGCUUAUCUGGUGGUAAUACCCCGUCUCUAAGGUAUGAAACUAUCGGGUCCAUCCACGAGCAUUUCUGUUCUAUCCGCAGCACCCCCGAAUUCGGCUCGAUGCUCGGGCUGGACUUCACCUCCAGAGGGAUUGACUUUGGCAUUUUUGGGUCUGCUACCGCUGCCAUCCUGGCCAAAAUAUCUGCUCGACUAUUCUGCUCCCUUGGGAUUUGUACUACCUCCACCGCUUCGAAUUUUCCCAUCAUCUGCCUGACUAUCUUCAAGUACUGCUCCAUCUUCUCCUCUCUUGGUUGGAAUCUUUCACUGACAUGAUUCGCAACCAGCUGGGAAUCAAUUCUGAUCUUCACUCUAUCUGCUCUCACGGCCUUAGCCAGUUCCAAUCCUGCUAUCAAGGCUUCAUACUCUGCCUGGUUAUUUGUUGCUGCGAAUUCUAACUUUACAGCAUAAGAGAUCUCCUCCCCCUCCGGGCCUUCCAAUACAAUCCCUACUCCUGAUCCCUGCUCCCCUGAUGACUCAUCUACAGACAUUUGCCAUACUUGAGCUUCGCCACUUUCUGCAACUACAUCUUGUUGGUCUAAACAUACUUCAGGCUCUGUGAAUUCUGCUACGAAAUCGGCCAUUGCCUGAGCCCUUAUCGCUGCUCGGGGUUUGUAGUCUAUGUCGAACUCGCUCAGCUCUAUAGCCCACUUGACGAGCCGACCAGAAGCAUCGGGCUUGUGCAGAGUUUGACGCAAUGGCUGGUUUGUUAUAACCGAGACUGGGAAUGCCUGAAAAUAUGGCCUCAACUUCCGAACAGCAACCACAAGGGCAAGUGCCCAUUUCUCCAACGGUAGGUAUCUGGUCUCAGCGUCGAGCAGGGCCUUGCUGGUGUAGUAUAUUGGAUACUGAACUCCUUCUUCCUCUCUCACCAGAACAGAACUGGCGGCCCGAUCCGUUACCACCAGAUACAAAAAUAACUUGUCCUCAUCCCUCGGUGUGGAUAGCAGAGGGGCUUGCUGUAAAUACUGCUUCAAGUUCUGAAAGGCUUCCUCGCAUUCCGGGGUCCACUCUGUUUUCUUUCCCCUCCUUAUCACUUGAAAGAAUGGUUGACACUUAUCUGUAGCCUUGGAUAUGAACCGGCUCAAUGCCGCCAAUCUCCCCGUAAGGCUUUGUAUUUCCUUCAGGCUACGAGGAGACCUCAUCUGCACGAUCGCCUGGAUCUUCUCAGGAUUUGCUUCGAUCCCCCGAUGACUCACCAUGAAUCCAAGGAACUUCCCCGACUCGACCCCAAAAGCACAUUUCUCCAGGUUGAGCUUCAUCUUAUACUUCCUCAAAAGCUCGAAUGUCUCCUCGAGGUGUCUGACAUGUUCCUUCGGGAUUUUGGACUUGGUGAUCAUAUCAUCCACGUACACCUCCAUGGUUUUCCCAAUCAACGGCUUAAAGACUUUGUUCACCAGCCUCUGAUAGGUGGCCCCAGCAUUUUUGAGACCAAAUGGCAUUACCCUGUAACAGAACAAACCCUGGUUAGUGAUGAAAGCUGUGCUCUCCUCGUCCUGCUCGUACAUGGGGAUCUGGUUGUAUCCCGAGAACGCGUCCAUGAAGCUAAGCAGAGCGUGUCCAGCCGUUGAAUCUACUAGCUGAUUGAUCUUUGGUAAAGGGAAGCUGUCCUUUGGGCACGCCUUAUUGAGGUCUGUGAAAUCCACACACAUCCUCCACUUGCCAUUCGCUUUCUUUACCAACACCACAUUCGAUAUCCAUUCAGGGUAAUUGACUUCCCGAAUGAACCCUGCUCUCAAGAGCUUCUCCACCUCGCCAUUUAUAGCCUCAUACCUCUCCUGGUUGAAGCACCUCCUCUUCUGCCUUACUGCCCGAGCACCUUUCUUUAUUGCCAGCUUAUGACAUGCUUCCUCAGGGUCAAUCCCUGGUAUGUCUUCAUGUGUCCAAGCAAACACAUCUGCAUGAGCCUGUAAGCAUUUCACCAACUCCUGCUUUUGCUCUCCCUUAAGUCUCGACCCGAUUCUGAUUGUCUUUCCCGGAUUCUCUGGUCCCAGGCUUACAGUUUCCAGAUCCUCUACAGGUUCUUGUCUGCCAUUCUUGUUUUCCACUCGGGUGUCGAGGGAUGUUAUCUGCAUUGCUUCCCCUGUUUCCAUCGCUUUUCACUUGCCUCACUCCUCUUCUUACUAUCAACAGAAGCUUUUUGAUCAGCUCCCCACAGACGGCGCCAAAAUGUUGAUGCGAGAUUCUGGUUGUCCUCGUUCUACGACCAGGGUCUCUGCUCGAUCAACUUCACCACGACCAGGAUCUCUCCUCGUAAAGCUUCUUCUCCAGAGGUUCCUGUGCACACAGACAGGUCAGAGUACGCCGGUUGUUUUCCCGGCGCAAACCCUCCGACGCUCAAGUCAGAUAUGAAGGUUCGGGGAACAUUUGCCACAGAUCUUAUGGCUUUUGGGUAGUUUUCUCUUCUUUAGAAUUUCUUUUAUCUCUCUUCUAAUCUCAAAAUUGCUAACCUUUUUACCUUCGUUGGCUACCUUUUUAUAGGCUUCCUCUGAAUCCUAGUUUUCUGCUGUCUACGUCUGUUAUCCUCCCACCUCUCGAACGUGGAUUCCCCAUUUCCAUAGUCGUGGGUGGUUGCGUGGCCUUCGUGCCUAGAUUCUCGGGCUGGAGAGCAUGCCUUGCCAACUGUCGUUGACCGGGUCUCCUCGAAUCAACCCUUAGCAAGAAUACAGCAGGAAUGGCUUUAUGCUUCUUACAGGAAAUUGGCCUCGCGGAUGACGUGCUCGUGGAUGAGCAGGAUAUUCCUGCCCCUGUUUCCCUGCUACCUGGCUCUUACAGGACACACCUGCUCGCAGACUUCUGCCACCAAACAUCUGCACAUCACGUCUGGUCUCGUCGGAGUAUUUCCCUCAAACAUGUUGUACGACCAAUGGGUGGAUAUUUACGAAGAAGCAAUAUGCAGCGGCACAUGUACAACGUUACAGGAAACAAUAGCUGCUUCAUCUCCUCUUCUCUCUCAAUCCUAUAGAUCCUUUAAUUACUUCAAUUUUGCUGUAUCCGCUGGCUGGCCGUCUCUUCGAGAUCGUGCAAAUUUGAAGUUAUAUAUAGAUGUUUAUAUAGGUCGUUUAAUUGCAUCCAGCCAUCCAUGCGUUUCAUUCAAAAACAUGGAACACAAAUAAUCUAGAUAUUUUGGCUGAAAUUCCAACCCAAAAAUAACACGGAGUACAAGAAAUGUUGGAAACUGCGGCUACUUUUGGUAUUGUGCCUAGGGGUGGCAAAAAAGCUCGGGCCAAGCCCGUUCGGCCCAGUCCAAGCCCAGGCCUGGACAAUGGUCCAAGAAAAAAAGCUCGGACAAAGUUCAAGCCAUUACUUUUUUAAAAAAAAAAAUUAUAAAUUAGAAUAAUAUAAUUAAAAUUAAAAAGUAAUUAAAAAAACUUAAAUUCUUAACUUAUAAAUCAAUUAUGAUUCAAAAAAACUUAAAUUUUGAUACUAAAUUCUCUCUUUUGUGUCAAUUAAUUAAGAGAGUAUUUGAAUUAGAAAAUUCAGUAUUGAAGAAAAUUAAAAUUAUGAGUUUUUAUUUGCUUUAUUUAUUAUUUUAAUUUGAAAUAUUCAUUUUCUUUAAUUUAUCUAUGAUUGUAAUAACUUGUUGAUCAUUAAUUUAUUUCAAAUUUAUAAUAAUUGAAAAUUUUUAAAAUAAAUAAAUAAAUAAAGCCCAAGCCCGGCCCGUACACUUAGCUGACAAAAGGCCUGGACAUGGGCUUGAAAAAGCCCGACCCAGGCCCGCUGUUUGCCAUCCCUAAUUGUGCCACUGUUCUACGAAAUAAAAGUUAAUUAACGAUGUUAUGAUAAUUUUGAUAAAAUAAUAAAGAUCAAACAACUGUAUACAGUACAAAAUCACCUUAGUUUCUACAUUAAGUAUUUUACUAAACACUUUAAAGAUACAGUUUUAAAUUAAGUGAUCCUAUCUAGAUCUAAACUCACUUGAACUUUUAAAAAUACAUGGGUAUAAGAUUUAACUUUUUUUAUUUAUUUAUUAACCACCAAUCACCCCUUGAAUUUUUGUUCAGUAUAAGAUCAUAUCAUGAAAUAAUCAUGGUGCAACCAUAACUCCUGAACGACACUAUAGCAUAUGGGUUGGUAUUUCAAAAUACCAAUGGUAGUGUCGUUAAGGUGCACCAAAUUUAAAACCUUACCACUUAUAUAAAUAAUUAGUACAGAGCGAGUAAGGAUCGAUCCCACAGAGACUAUACUAGUUAUAUUUAUUAUUAAUUCCAAAACAAGAUUUAAAAUAAAAUAAUAGUAAUAGUAAUAAUAAUAUAAAUUAAUCUAACUAAAGAAAAUGCCAAUUAAAAAUAAAAGGGGGGUUUAUGAAUUUUUAACUAAAUAGUAAGAAAUAAAGAAAUUAAAAUUACGAACAAGAAUUUAAUAAAAACUCUAAUUAAAAGAGAAAGAAAUAAUAAUGACGAAAACUUUGGUUAAAGGAUCAUUCGCCACCACAAAACAUGCACAUAAUAUAUUAAUUCUAUCAUCAAUUUAUAUUGAAACUAUCAACCGUAGACAACAAUAAGCUCUGUUAGUCUCAAUCUUUCCUUAGUGUGUCGUUAGGCAAAACAAGCUCUUCACCUAAUCUCUAACCAUUAAAUAAUUUAAAACAAGCUCUUUAAAUUUAAGAUAAUGAAAGCAUUAAACAGAGAAAGAUAUUAGGUUGAUCUAGGCAAUAAACACACAAGCUCGGAUUAUUUAACCUAGGUUAUGUUCUUCAAUUGAAAUCACUAAUUCCAACCUGCUACUAAUGAUUAAAAUAUCAAGACAAUUACGGAUCAAGAAUUUUAAUCUAGCAAUAAAAUUUAUUCAAGUCCUAUCUAAUUGGCCACUCAAACAAAACAAGAAUAAACCAUGAACAUUAAUUAUAGAAGAACAUAAACAAUCUCAAUUAAAUAAAUUGAAUAGUAGAAUUUAAAUUUAAUUGCAUAGCAUGUUUAGGGUUUUGAAUUCACCCUCAACCAAAUAAAAAUCUAGCCUAACAUAAUUGAAUUGGGAAUAAGAGAAUUGACAAAACCAAUCAUGGAAAUUAAUUCAAGCGGCUGCCUUUUUCUUCAAUUGAAUUCCGGCUGCUGAUUCAAUUGAAUUCCGGCUGCUGACUUUUUCUUCUUACUGCCGAAUUGGAUCUGCCCUCCUCCUUAUUUUCUCUUCUCUGCCCGAAAUCUCCUUCUUGUGUGGCUGCCUUUCUUCCCUUUUAUAAUGUUGUGGUUUCUUCCAAAUCCUUAAAGGAAAAGGAUUGCAAAUCCAGUCCACGAAUCCUUAAAUGAAAAGAAUUAAAAACAAAGCCCAACCGCCUAUUUCAUUCCUAAGCCAAUCAUAAUUAAAAGCAAAAGCCCCUCCACGUGUUGCAUGCAUGCUUAAUGAUUAAUUAAUUUAAAUCUUUUGUGAUUUGUUCUAAGUAAUUCUCUUUAUUUUCUUUCCUUUUUUUAUUCCUUUAAAUGGAUUUCCUCCUGAAUGUUCCAAUUUAUUCUUCUUUAAUCCCAUAUUGUACCAAAAAUAAUAAAAUAUAAAAGUAAAAAUAAAAAUUAACACAAUAAAAUAUAAUUUACUAAAUUAAAGAUUAACUAAAAUAACUAGAAUAUUUAAAACCAAAAUAAGAAAAAGAUGAAGAAAUUAAUAGCAAAAUAUAUGGAAAAUAUGCACUUAUCAAAUUCCCCCACACUUACCCUUUGCUCGUCCUCGAGUAAACCUAGAACAAAAAUAAAAAGAAAACCUAAACUAGUCCACUUUCGUAGGAAAUCACGAUUGCAUUUAGCGUAUGCAACAAGCCUUUAAACCCCUAGGCGGCCUUAGUGGACGAGUUAUAGUCUCGUGAGGGCUUCAGCGAUGAUACCCACAAACAUCAUUGUAAUUUUUUUUUUUAUUUUAGCAGAAAAAGAACAAAGGAAUUUAAAAUAAAAAUAGCCUCAAAGAUUGCAUAAAUCAUAUAGCUCAAAGAAAAUUUCAAAUAUUAUCGAAGUUCUAACUUUAAUUCAAUAGUCAAUCACAUCUCUCUUUUGAUUCUCAUAAUGUGUGUGUGAAUCAAUUCAAUUAAAAUCCAUUCCCAAAAUCUUCAAUAUCAACAGCCUUUGCCUUGAACAAAGAAAAGAGUAGGUCAAACUAAUCUUAUCAUCUUGAUCUCUAAAAUUUUUUUUUCUUUUACAGGCAUUUGUGUGCAUUUUCUUUUGAGGUUCUUUUUUUUUUUUUUUAUAGUCAGGAGUUUUCACUCUACCCCUUAAGGUAGCCUUCUUCUCAUGGUAGAUUAUCCUCUACAUACUGGUGGUACAUAGGCUCAAAUUACUCAAGGAUAGCUUCACUCUUAAGGGUUAUAGGUAGCUAUUUCUGACUAUGGUGCCUAUGUAUACUACACUGUAUUGUGGAGAUAAGAAUCAAGACAAACAGUCAUUUACUCAAUCUAAAAUUCUCAACUCAGGCUGCGUCAAUCUCAAAUUCUAAGUCAAAAUUAUGAAAGAAUUGAUAUUAGUGCUCAUGGUUUAAAGAAUCUCAAUUAAGAGGAAAUCAACACAAGAAUCAAGUAUACACUAAGGUAAUAUUCAACCCUUUCUAAGAACCAUAUUCAUUGUCAAUCAAAUUCUUAUCACUGGCUAAUAUUCAAAACAAAUUUUUUUUUUUGUUUUUUUUUGUUUUUUUUUGUUUUUUUUUUGUUUUUUUUUUUAAAGAAAAAGACAAAGACGAAGCAACAAAAACUAAGUUCGAAAUCCACCCCCCCACACUUAUUUCUUACAUUGUCCUCAAUGUAAGCCUAAUGUCACGGGACGAGAGGUUUCGAGCCCGUGCGGCACUCCCGCAUCCCAUACUACGAGAGUAAGCCUAGAGGAAGUGGCACAAUGUCGACUGGUUUCGCCCUGCCUUGGGCUCGUCAGGAGAACGGCCUCAGUUCCCAACCAGUGUGCGUCAGGAUUUUCCUAGACCCCUCUUCAGCGUUAAGUCCUCGACUAGCGACAAGCUCCCCAAACUCAACCGGGUCGGCCUGCCUGAACUCCAAAGAGUCUAGGGGAUUGUAUUCCCCACACACACAUUCCUGAAGCACGUCUCCAACAAUCAGCACAACCAUCAUCGACACUAGCGUACAAGCGCAUAUCUUGGGUGCCACGAUUGCGGUCCGUGACAUUCUCCCACCGCCAUAACCAUGCACGUCCUCGUGCAUUCAGAGUACGCCUCGCAAGUGUGCACUUCCGCGCGAAAACGUGAAGAUCGGCUUGCCAAUCUCAACCAAUGAACUCCCUGCCUACUCGUCCUCAAUCCGUGGAGAGGACCCGCGUGCAGACACCAUCCACUUAGUGCGAACGCUUGGGGGUGUGAGAACCCGCCUGUUCGUCCCGCUUGUCGACCCUUGCAUCCGGAAGGGUGGGGACCCGCGUGGUGCGGCAUUGGAGCGCUUGGCGAGCUCGUAGCGAGGGCUUCGAGAGAUGACAAGCGCGGCUCUGAUACCAUUUGUCACGGGACGAGAGGUUUCGAGCCCGUGCGGCACUCCCGCAUCCCAUACUACGAGAGUAAGCCUAGAGGAAGUGGCACAAUGUCGACUGGUUUCGCCCUGCCUUGGGCUCGUCAGGAGAACGGCCUCAGUUCCCAACCAGUGUGCGUCAGGAUUUUCCUAGACCCCUCUUCAGCGUUAAGUCCUCGACUAGCGACAAGCUCCCCAAACUCAACCGGGUCGGCCUGCCUGAACUCCAAAGAGUCUAGGGGAUUGUAUUCCCCACACACACAUUCCUGAAGUACGUCUCCAACAAUCAGCACAACCAUCAUCGACACUAGCGUACAAGCGCAUAUCUUGGGUGCCACGAUUGCGGUCCGUGACACUAAGCUAACAAAAGACAGAAUUAAACAUGGGAAAAUGAGAUGAGACACACAAACAGAAACAAAAAAAAAAUUCAACACAACGUAGGUAAAGUAAAUGAGAAUGAGAGGGAGAAAAAUCAAAUCUGUUAUGGCGUGCUCUCAAAAUCUUUUCUCCAGCCAUUGGGUUGCCUCCCAAUAAGCGCUUGGUUUAUUGUCCUCAGCCUGACCUGGUUCUCAAGUUUCACUCAUCAACGUACGCAGGUUCAUAAAGUGGAGCCUCCUCUACAUUGAGUGUUUGAAAAUUUUCAUAGUAAGGCUUCAACCUAUGACCAUUAACUUUGAACUCUUUACUUGUCUUUAAGCUCUUGAUCUCAACUGCACCAUGAUGAAAAACAUUAAUAACAACAAAAGGCCCAACCCAUCGAGAACGUAACUUACCUGGAAACAACUUAAGGCGAGAAUGGAAUAGCAGAACUUUCUGUCCAACUUCAAAAUUCUUUCUCAAGAUUUGCUUGUCAUGAAAAGCCUUAGUUUUUUCCUUAUAGAUUCGUGAACUCUCAUAGGCAUCAUUUCGAAUUUCCUCUAAUUCUUGCAAUUGGAGCUUUCUGUGUUGGCCGGCGGCAUCCAGUUCCAUGUUACAUUGUUUCACAGCCCAUCAUGCUUUAUGUUCAAGUUCCACUGGAAGAUGACAAGGCUUACCAUAUACCAACCUGUAGGGUGACAUACCGAUAGGAGUUUUGUAUGCGAUCCUAUAUGCCCAAAGUGCAUCAUCAAGCCGUAGGCUCCAGUCCUUUCUAUUCGGAUUAACUAUCUUUUCAAGGAUUGAUUUCACUUCCCUAUUAGACACCUCAACUUGCCCACUAGUUUGGGGAUGGUAAGAUGUAGAUACCUUGUGAGUGAUAUUGUAUUUUUGAAAGAGGGCUUCUAUUGACCUGUUACAAAAGUGAGUGCCUCUGUCGCUGAUAAUUGCCUUUGGUGUUCCAAACCUUGUAAAGAUGUUACUCUUUAUAAAAUCUACCACAACCUUAGAAUCGUUAGUUCGGGUGGCUUUUGCUUCCACCCAUUUUGAAACAUAAUCAACCGUAAGAACAAUAUAGAGAUUACCAAACGAUGAAGGAAAUGGUCCCAUGAAGUCGAUGCCCCAAACAUAAAAAAUCUCAACUAUAAGAAUGGGAGAUUGUGGCAUUUGAUUUCUAGGUCCUAAAUUACCUGUUCUCUGACAACGUUCACAAGAUUUGCAAAACAAAUAUGCGUCCUUAAAUAGUGAUGGCCAAUAAAAACCGCUCGCAAGUACCUUAAGGGCUGUUCUCUUUGGUCCAAAAUGUCCUCCACAAGCCAAAGUAUGACAAAAUGUGAGAAUAGAAGUAAAGUCAGUUUCGGGUACGCACCUUCUAAUAACUUGAUCAGAACAAUGCUUCCACAAGUAUGGCUCAUCCCACACAUAGUACUUGGCAUCACUCUUGAUCUUGACCUUUUGUGCACGGGUUAUCUCUUUCGGUACUGUCCUGGUAACCAAGUAAUUGACAAUAUCUGCAUACCAAGGAGUAAUUGUACCUACCUGCAAUAACUGCUCAUCUGGAAAGUUCUCAUGCAAUGGAAGUUCAUCUUCGUUAUGGAUAAGUCGACUCAAAUGAUCUGCCACCAAAUUCUCAGAACCUCUCUUAUCUAGAAUCUCUAUGUCAAAUUCUUGCAAUAGAAGUAUCCAUCGUAUAAGGCGCGGUUUGGCAUCCUUUUUUUGUGAGCAAGUACCUAAUAGCUGCAUGGUCAGAGUAAACGACUACCUUAGAUCCAAUUAAAUAAGAACGAAAUUUCUCUAAGGCAAAGAUAACUGCUAAAAGUUCUUUCUCUGUGGUGGAGUAGUUAAGUUGUGCAUCAUUCAAUGUACGAGAGGCAUAAUAGAUAACAUGAGGAAGCUUGCCCACACGCUAGCCCAACACGGCUCCAACAGCAUAGUCACUGGCAUCGCACAUAAUCUCAAAUGGUAAAUCUCAGUUUGGUGGUUGAAUCACAGGUGCCGAUGUCAAAACCUCUUUUAACUUCUUAAAAGCUCUUUGGCACUCUUCAUUGAAGUCAAACGUUGCAUCUUUUAUAAGUAAGUUGCAGAGAGGUAAAGCUAUUUUGGAGAAGUCCUUGAUAAACUUGCGAUAGAAACCUGCAUGACCAAGAAAAGAACGAACCUCCCUCACAUUAGUGGGAGGUGGUAAGGAGCGUAUAAGAUCUAUCUUAGAUUUAUCAACUUCAAUCCCCUUUUCAGAAAUAACAUGGCCUAGUACAAUACCUUGAUUAACCAUAAAAUGACAUUUUUCCCAAUUAAGCACAAGGUUAGUGUCAAUGCAUCGUUUAAGAACAAGUGUAAGGUUAUCUAAACAUUUAUCGAAAGAAUCACCAUAAACUGUAAAAUCAUCCAUAAAUACCUCAAUGAUAUUUUCCACAUAAUUAGAAAAAAUACUCAUCAUACACCUUUGGAAAGUGGCAGGAGCGUUACAGAGGCCAAACGGCAUGCGUCGGUAAGCAAAUGUUCCGAAGGGGCAUGUGAAUGUCGUUUUCUCUUGGUCUUCCGGAGCGAUAACGAUCUGAUUAUAACCUGAGUAACCAUCAAGAAAACAAUAAUGAGAGUGACCACUUAACCUUUCAAGCAUUUGAUCAAUGAAUGGCAGAGGAAAAUGAUCUUUGCGAGUGGCUGCAUUCAGUUUACGAUAGUCAAUGCAAACUCUCCACCCAGUUUGAACUCUAGUUGGUACAAGCUCGUUUUCUUCAUUCUUGACUACUGUGAUGCCUGAUUUUUUUGGAACUACCUGCACAGGACUCACCCAUUUACUAUCAGAAAUGGGAUAAAUAAUCCCCACAUUAAGGAGUUUCAGUAUCUCUUUUUUUACGACUUCCAUCAUUGGUGGAUUAAGGCGUCGUUGUGCAUCUCUCGUUGGUUUAGACCCUUCCUCUAGCAAAAUGCGAUGCAUGCACAUGGAAGGACUGAUUCCCUUAAUGUCGGCAAUGGUCCAGCCAAUCGCUGUCUUGUGAUCCCGAAGCACCCUAAUUAACUUUUCUUGUUGAACUGGAGUGAGGGUUUUAGCAAUUAUGACUGGAAGUGUUUCAUUCUCACCCAAGUAAAUAUAUUGCAGGUGUUCUGGGAGUGGUUUAAGUUCUAAGGUAGGUGCCUGCACAAUUGAAGGUAAAAGUUUCUCAUUUAAUAAAGGCAAUUCAAGGUAAGAAACAUUAUACCCAUUGGUGCGUAAUGUGACUGCUCCAUCUAAGAUCGCCAUAGCUUCCUCUACCUUAUCAUCCAACUUUAUCAAAUUUGCAUGUUCCUUAGAAUCAUCUUUCGUAAGAUUUUUGCUUAUGGCAAUUUCAAAACUGUCAUUACCAGAUAAUUCAAAGAAAUCCUGCACCAAAGUAUUAAUAUCAUCCAUGGCAAAAACAGAAUGAACAUCACUGGGAUACCUCAUUGCCUCAAAGAUAUUGAAGCGGAUCACUUCACCAUCGAAUUCCAUUGUAAGGGUUCCAUCGUGAACAUCAAUCUUGGUUCGGGCUGUCUUAACGAAUGGUCGCCCCAACAGAAUAGGAGUGGGAUUGGGCGACAAUUCAUCCUCCAUUUCAAGGAUAUAAAAAUCAGCUGGAAAGACCAAUUCAUUUACCUGCACAAGAACAUCUUCCAUAACCUCCUUUGGGUAAGCAUUAGAUCUGUCAGCCAAUUGAAUAAUUAUACCAGUUUCUUCCAUUGGACCUAAAUUCAAGGAGUUAUAAAUCGAAUAUGGCAUAACAUUAAUUGAAGCCCCUAAAUCUAGCAUACAUCUUUCGAAUCUGGUAUUACCAAUAGUGCAGGGGAUAGUGAAAGUACCAGGAUCCUUGCACUUAGGCGGAAGUUUUCGAAUCUGGUAUUACCACUCAACUUUCACUUGUUGCUGCAUAAUUCCUUCAAAAACUUUGCAUAACGCGGCACUUGUUUAAUAGCAUCAAGUAGAGGAAUAUUUACCUCUACUUUACGAAAGGUCUCAAGGAUCUCUUUUUCUUGCUCUUCUUUCUUGGAUUGUUUAAAUCUGCUAGGAAAUGGUGGAGGAAUGGAGAGAGUCUUAAUUCGAGGUGAGAGGAUACUUACCUGGCCAGAUGGACCGACUGGCAAUGCCGAGUGGGAAUCAUCCUUCCUUGUUAAAGGAAGAGCCUCAGGUGAGGAAUUGGUCACAGAGGGCGAUGAUGUUGUGGAUACUUUUGAUGGUUUAGCCAAUAAUGGUUCCAAUUGCUUUCCGCUCCUAAGAGACAUAGCACUAGUAUUCUCCUUUGGAUUAAUUUCUGGUUGAGAAGGUAACUUUCCUGAAGUUCUAGCCUCUAUCCUACUCAUAGAUGUGGCCAAUUGGCCAAUUUGAUUCUCUAAAUGUUGGAGCUGUGUCUGGGUAGUCUGUUGGAAUUGCAUAGAGUUAGUAGCGAGAGCUUUUACAAGAUCUUCUAAAGACGUACCUUGAUUUUGAGGAGGUGGAGGUGGCCGAACUUGGUAAGGCUGUUGCACCCGGUGUUGGGGGUAGCCCGGUGGUCGAGACGGUGCCACAUUAGAAAUGCCAUGUUGUUGGUUCCCAUACCUAAAAUUAGGGUGAUCCUUCCACCCUUCAUUGUAAAAAUUAGAGUAUGGAUCAUACCUUUGUCUUGGUUGGCCUAGGAACCCCUCAACUGCAUUGGCCUGCUCAUGUGAACCCUCUUGGAUGGCAGGGCACAUGUCAGUCGCAUGUCCGACCAUAAAACAUACGCCACACGGUCUCAUUUGUUGCCCUAGAGCUAAUUGUUGCACCAAAGAAGUAAGAUUUGAAACUUGUUUUUCUAGAGAAGUAGUACUUACCUCAUUGACUCGCUUAGGUGGUGGCAGUAGAUCGUUCCUAGUGUUGAACUGUUGGGAAUUAGCAGCCAUGUUAGCAAUGAGAUUUCGGGCUGCUUCUGGUGUCUUAUCCACGAGUGCUCCUCCACUAGCAGCAUCAAUCAUACUCCUAUCCAUAGGCAGUAGACCCUCAUAAAAGUAUUGAAUAAGAAGUUGAUCACUUAUUUGAUGGUGGGGGCAACUAGCACAUAGCUUUUUGAAUCGUUCCCAAUAGUCGUAGAGCGGCUCUCCAUUAUACUGUCGGAUUCCACAAAUUUCUUUUCGAAUGCUGCCAGCUUUUUAUGCUGGGAAAUAUUUCUCCAAAAAUAGCUGACGCAUCUCAUUCCAUGUAGUGACAGUACCGGAGGGAAGAUAGUACAACCAUUCCUUGGCUGAAUCCGCCAAAGAGAAUGGGAAGGCCAUUAGCUUAACUUGCUCUUCAGAAACUCCGGCUGGUUUCAUUGUGGAGCAGACCACAUGGAACUCCUUCAAGUGCUUAUUUGGAUCCUCUCCUGCAAGACCAUGAAAAGUAGGAAGAAGAUGAAUCAUCCCAGAUUUGAGUUCAAAGUUUACCUGAGGGUUUGGAUUCUCAAUGCAUAAGGGUUGCUGGUCCAAGUUAGGAGCUGCCAACUCUUUAAGUGUUCGGUUGUUAUUCUGAGCCAUUGGUUCGGGUUCUGGGCUGCUUGGCUCUGUCUUCGGGAGUGGAAUGUGGAUGGCAAAAUCGAGUUCUGAAUAUGAUGAGGUUGCUCUAAGUUGUUCGAGUUUCAAUCGAAUGUCCUCUAUGCUCAUGAAAAUCUAAAUAUAUAACAAAAAAAUAACUAAUUAAAAUAAAAUAAAUAAAUAAAAUGAGAAAAGAAAUAAAAAUAAAAAUAAUAAAAUAAAACGAGUGAUAAUAAACAAACUAGACGCUAGUCCCCGGCAACGGCGCCAAAAAUUUGGUAGUGUCGUUAAGGUGCACCAAAUUUAAAACCUUACCACUUAUAUAAAUAAUUAGUACAGAGCGAGUAAGGAUCGAUCACACAGAGACUAUGCUAGUUAUAUUUAUUAUUAACUCCAAAGCAAGAUUUAAAAUAAAAUAAUAGUAAUAGUAAUAAUAAUAAUAGUAAUAAUAAUAUAAAUUAAUCUAACUAAAGAUAAUGCCAAUUAAAAAUAAAAGGGGGUUUAUGAAUUUUUAACUAAAUAGUAAGAAAUAAAGAAAUUAAAAUUACGAACAAGAAUUUAAUAAAAACUCUAAUUAAAAGAGAAAAAAAUAAUAAUGAUGAAAACUUUGGUUAAAGGAUCAUUCGCCACCACAAAACAUGCACAUAAUAUAUUAAUUCUAUCAUCAAUUUAUAUUGAAACUAUCAACCGUAGACAACAAUAAGCUCUGUUAGUCUCAAUCUUUCCUUAGUGUGUCGUUAGGCAAAACAAGCUCUUCACCUAAUCUCUAACCAUUAAAUAAUUUAAAACAAGCUCUUUAAAUUUAAGAUAAUGGAAGCAUUAAACAGAGAAAGAUAUUAGGUUGAGCUAGGCAAUAAACACACAAGCUCGGAUUAUUUAACCUAGGUUAUGUUCUUCAAUUGAAAUCACUAAUUCCAACCUGCUAUUAAUGAUUAAAAUAUCAAGAUAAUUACGGAUCAAGAAUUUUAAUCUAGCAAUAAAAUUUAUUCAAGUCCUAUCUAAUUGGCCACUCAAACAAAACAAGAAUAAACCAUGAACAUUAAUUAUAGAAGAACAUAAACAAUCUCAAUUAAAUAAAUUGAAUGGUAGAAUUUAAAUUUAAUUGCAUAGCAUGUUUAGGGUUUUGAAUUCACCCUCAACCAAAUAAAAAUCUAACCUAACAUAAUUGAAUUGGGAAUAAGAGAAUUGACAAAACCAAUCAUGGAAAUUAAUUCAAGCGGCUGCCUUUUUCUUCAAUUGAAUUCCAGCUGCUGAUUCAAUUGAAUUCCGGCUGCUGAUUUUUUCUUCUUACUGCCGAAUUGGAUCUACCCUCCUCUUUAUUUUCUCUUCGCUGCCCGAAAUCUCCUUCUUGUGCGGCUGCCUUUCUUCCCUUUUAUAAUGUUGUGGUUUCUUUCAAAUCCUUAAAGGAAAAGGUUUGCAAAUCCAGCCCAUGAAUCCUUAAAUGAAAAGAAUUAAAAACAAAGCCCAACCGCCUAUUUCAUUCCUAAGCCAAUCAUAAUUAAAAGCAAAAGCCCCUCCACGUGUUGCAUGCAUGCUUAAUGAUUAAUUAAUUUAAAUCCUUUGUGAUUUGUUCUAAGUAAUUCUCUUUAUUUUCUUUCCCUUUUUUAUUCCUUUAAAUGGAUUUCCUCCUGAAUGUUCCAAUUUAUUCUUCUUUAAUCCCAUAUUGUACCUAAAAUAAUAAAAUAUAAAAAUAAAAAUAAAAAUUAAUACAAUAAAAUAUAAUUUACUAAAUUAAAGAUUAACUAAAAUAACUAGAAUAUUUAAGACCAAAAUAAGAAAAAGAUGAAGAAAUUAAUAGCAAAAUAUAUGGAAAAUAUGCACUUAUCAACCAAUAUCUUAACCUUAAAGUGAUAACAAACUCAUGAAAUGAAUGCUCAUGCCCAUGAGUCCAAGGCCAAUAAUUGAUGAUCCCAUUUCAGAAACCUCAUGCAAAGUGAUUAAUAAUGCAGCCUAAUCCUACUUUUUAUUAUAUUGACAAGUAUUCACUGUAUUACUUUAUAUAAUACAAUGUAUACAAACAACAUGUCAAAAGCGACUUCAAUGUCUAAAGGAUGUUAGAAAGCUUUAAGAUCAUUUUAGUAUUUCUGUUCAAAUAGCGGUUUUGCGCAUAUAUUCUAGGAAAAUGUUUUUUUGUGUUUUUAGAGUAUUGCUCCUUCACUAUUCAAUACUUGCCACAUGAAUAUGAAUAUUAUCAGAAUUGAUUGAAGCAUAAAUAUUAGUAUGUUCCAAGAAAAGAAUGGAAAAGUAGCACCCAAGACCUCUCCUUAUUCUAGAAGCAUUUUGCCUUUUGCAAAUGACACGUACUGCCCACAUAUAUAAACACGCAACAAAUGUAUCAUAUAAAUUUUAAGGGUAUUUUUGGAAUUCAGAAAAAAAAUGACUUUCUAGACUCUUUUGGGCCAAAAAUAUUUUACCUCAAAAUUGGGAAGAGUCCAUCUUAGAACACCUCUUCAAAAUUUUGUUUUGUUCUUAAAAUAUCCUAUUUUCAUUUAUGAAAUACAAACUUAAACAUUAAAAUUAAUAUCUUUCCAUAAAAUUUCACCCUUAAAAAAAGUUAUUUUUCUAUUUAUAAAAUUCAUGCAAAUCCUAAAAUUUUUAAUUAUUUUCAUUUUUUAUAUAAUUUCUAUCUCUAUAAAUCUAAACUCUUUAUAAUUUUUUUAAAAUAUAUAGAAGAUAGGGGUAAAAUAUUUGUUAAAAUAAUAACUUAUUUAAGUGGUUAAAUAAGGUACAUAUUUGGUAUAACUUAUCUAAUGGUUAUAAGUGCUUAUUUAAUUCCAUAAACUCUUUUCAAUUUUUUUUUUGGUUGUUGUUUAGUCGUUUUUAGAAUAGAGUUUUUGAAAAUUAAGUAAGUUAUUUUACAUUCAAUAGUAAAAACUUAAAUUUUGGACUUUAGGGAGUAGAGGUUGAAAAGCUUAUUUAAAAUGUCAAAAUAUUUAAAAUAAAUUUAUUUGAUAAUCAUAUUUCAUUCCUUUUAUAAUUUAACUUUAAAAAAAUUGUUUGUUAAAAUAAUCUUAUAAUUUUUAAUAAAAGUUCUCAUUGAUAACCAAAUAAUUAAAAAAAAAUUAUGAAGUUCUACUAAUAAAAGUUUUAUUUAAAUAAGUUUUAUUUGAAAAGUUAUACGAAACCGGCUGAAAUUCCAUUCAAAAUAAGAAAUGAAUUAACUUAAAAUUAGUUAUUUAAAUAAUUUAUGUGAAAAAAAACAGUCCUUUACAAGGGAUUUUAAGGGCUGUGAAAAAACGACCCAAUUUGAAAACUAAUAACCCGAAAUAUGAAAUAAAAACAAGGCACUCCUAAAAACAAAAUUUUUAAACAAAUUUGAAGGCUGCUGCUGCUGCUGCUGCAUACACAUUCAUCAACCCUUUAUCUUGCUACCGCCAAGGGUUCUAGCCGUGUUAUUUGUUAUAAUAAUAUUGCCCGCAAUUGUCAUUCAUCAUCAUUACUUUCUUUUAAUCCCCUUUAAUAUCUAUCGGUCACCAGCAUAUAUAGCAUCCGUCGAUUAGGGUUUCAUCAUCAAAGCGACCAAAUGGGGAAGAACGAAAAGACAGGACUCGGAAGAGCCCUAGUGAAGCACCACAAUCACAUGAUCCAAGAAACCAAAGAAAAGGGCAAAUUCUACAGGAAGCAACACAAGAAGGUUCUUGAAUCCGUCACCGACGUCGACGACAUCGACGCCGUCAUUCAACAGGCGGAGGAAGCCGAGGCCUACCCCGUCCCUAUCCCCCUCAUCAAUUUGUGAGUUCCUCCUUUUCUUUUCUUUUUUCUUUUUUUCAUUAAUCAAUAAAUGAAAUUAUAAAGUUUAAUCUAAUUUUUAUAAUAAUAAUAAUAAUAAUGGGUAUUUAGAGAUGAGGGGUCCAGGAGUAGUACCAGAGAGAUGAUGAUGACGGCGGAGGAGGGGAAGGAGGACGAGGCGUUGCACGCUGGCAACCUUAGAAUCGACCUUCGCAAAAUCCCUCUCUAACUUUUCAAAAUUUACAAAUUUAAUUUAAUAUUUAUCUCAUUUAUCAUAAAGUCCCUAUUAAAUUUUAAAAAUAACCAAAACAUUAAGUAUUUUUCUUUAACUUCCAACCCACAAAGAAAUUGUUAUUUUGAGAUUUGUUGCACGCUAACUCUCCUCACACAAAAAAAAAAAUAUAGAAAUUAUUUUAUCUUAUUGAGUUUAUCAAAAUGAUUUUUCUUCAAUGAAUCUUAUGACACUUAAAAUUCAAUUUGAUGUUUACAUUACAUAGGUGGGUUCUAAUAACAAAUUUUCAAAAUUGAAAGAGAUUGAUAGGCUAACAAGAAAAAUAGUUGAUACUAAAAAAGAUAAAUUGUAUUAAUUGAUUUAUUUAUGGAUAACAUUAGCAUUGAUUUUACUAGUUGUCAUGACGACAGUAGUAAAAUGCAUUUUCAACUAUGGAUUUUGUGAAAAAUCUUCUGUGAAAUCAAAUUAGAGAUUAAUAAUUGAGUAAUAUUAUUGUUGCACACGUAGAAAAAGAUUUAUUUUGUAUUCUUGAUGAUAAGUUUAUUUUUUAACGUUUUUAACAUAUGAAAACAUGUCGAGAUCAAUUAUAAAUGUAUUGAAUAUAUUAAUGAAUUUUUAUUUUUGAUACUUGUUACUUAUUGACCUUUUUUAGAUUAUAUUAUUAUUUAAACUUAGCCCUUAUUAAGAUAAAUUUCUGACACCGCCACUACUUUGAACUCUAUCAUAAUAGAAUUAUUAAGGAGAGGAACAACCUUCAGACUGUAUCAUGAUAAAAUUAUUAAGAAAAGUCUCAAUCGAUAGAAGAGUUAUGAUCAAUUUCUAAGUAUAAAUAUCAUUAGAUCUCUAAUUGUAAUAUAUCAAAAUAUUAAAAAAAAAAAACUAUUUGCAACAUCAUUAUUCUUAUUCUAAUAUCAUGUUUGGAUUUUACCAAAUAAAACUCAAACUCUUCAAAGCGCACAUCUCAAACUACUACAAUUAUAACUACUUUUUUGAAUUAAAUAAAUAUCAUUAAUCUAAAGUUCUCCUAGUUCGAGGAUCCAAAAACGAACACUACGAAUUCACUGUAAAUUGGGUUUGGGAUCUUGAAUGACUGUGAAAGUUGGAAUGCAUUUUUUUUUAAUUUUUGUGCAUUUUUUUGGAGAGAGAAAUUGUUGUUUAAAUAAAGAUUAUCUUCAGAAUUAAAGUGAGUGCUGAUAGCAGCAAGUGAUUUUAUAGUAUAAUUUAAUAGUGUUUACUUAAAAAAGGGUAACAAUAGGAUUUUAGAGAUGUGACAAUCCUUUAGCAAACUUAUCAUUUAUGUAAUAUUAAUAUAAAACUACAUCUUUCAAGCACUGCAUUGAAACAUAAUCACAGACUGCGCUUAUGGUCUUACAAAAACAUGUGCUACGUACUAGCAAGAUGUUAUUAUUGUUACUAUACAUUGCGGUUCCAUGCAUGCUUGUUGAAUAAUUUAUGGAUGACUUGGCUGUGGACCUCUCGGAGGUAGUGGUUGAGCCGGUGGAUGAUCAGUCACACGACCGUAUGGAUGUUCAUUUACGUGACCGUAUGGAUGCGGAAGAGCAAAGGAUGGUUGCAAAAGAAGAAGCAUUAUUAUGCAGCAUAACUCCAAAAGAAACCAAAGCAGACUGUUCAGCUUCAUCUCAUUUCUCAUUUUAAUUGCCCUCUUACCACAUAGAGUUUUCUAAAGAUGUAUACAAAAUUAUUAGAUGAAUGAGAAGAUAUAAGUUAUUAUAUAGGCCCCUUUCCUUCAACCAUUUUCCAGUCAAAAAAUUAUAAAAAACAAACGCAAAUAAGUCAAGUCAAUUUUCAUCUUGAACAAGUCGAAUGCAUAUAUAUUUUUUCCGAUAUUCCUAUCCUAAGUGUGAAUCCAUAAAAGAAGUUGCUGACUUAAUUUUCUUGUUUCUCACUUUAUUUAAUUUUUAUAAAUUUGUCUCACGAUCAAUUAAUUGAAGAGUUUGGUGGAAAUUCAAUUUACUAUAAUCAGAUCAAUGUAAUUUAAUUAUUUUUCUAUUUACUUGAUGUCAGGAAAAUUAUGAAUACUUUGUAGAAUUUAAAGGAUUAAAAAUUCUAAUGCAUAUAAUUUUAUUUUUCAAACUGAAUAAACAUAUCAUUAUUGCUUCUUAGAACCUAUUACUUGUAUUUUAUGUUUCUGUCUCUUUUCAUAAUUUUUUUUUUUUUUUACUUUUUCUUUCAUUUUCCCGACUCCCAAACAUCACUAAUCCUUGAUUUUUUUUGGAGUAUUAACUGCUUGUUCCUCCAAACAUCGACCAACUGUUAGUCUAAUCACUAUCAAGAGACAACGUAUUCUGUAGCGGGGUUUUUCAUUUAUUGUCUUGUUACUUCUGAACGGGACUAAUUAAACCUUUUCAUAGGAAAGUACCAUCCAUUAUACACUUAUUUUGCUUUUCAUUGAAAAUGUUAAUAAUCAUAAUAAAUUAGAUUGAAUUAAUAAUUUUUGCCUCUGUGAUAUAAAUAAUCGGUUUAUUGGAUUUUCUUCUCUUUCAUUGAUUUUGCAACUGUGACUUCUGAGUCGGGUUAAGGAUUGACAAAAACGUUGUAACCCACAAAGCACGCAUAAUUAAUUAAUGGGCCACUAAUUUCUUCUUUCUUAAAAGAUUUUUUUUUGCAGGGAGACUGAACAAAAGACUAAUUCUUGGUAAAGAUCAGAAUCAAAUGGGUAUCCAUCACAAAUACAAGUCAAGCCACACAAUUUUUCUUGUUAUACUACUUAUUGGCACUUGUGAUCCUUGAAUUAUCGAACGAAUAGUAAGAACACUUCAACAUCCGUCGUUAUAAGGACAGCAAUUCGUCCUCUCUUUGAUGUAAUACUUGGGCAAUGUACAUUGACUUUUCAUUAAAACAAGCAUUGUCCAAUUAAUUUGCAAGUGGACUUUCCCACAAGAUAUAAGGGUGGGCAUAAACCGGUUCGGUUCGGACAGAACCAAACCGAAACCGAAAUAAAAUAAAAUAAAUUAUUUUGAUUCAGUUCUGUUUGGUUUGGUUUAUAUUAGGAAUUUUAAUAACUUUUCUUUUAUAUUUACUAAAUUUUUGGACUUUUCACCUUAAUUUUUUUUCUUAAUUCAAUUCAAUUGUAACCAUUACAAUUCAUGAUUUAUACAAAAUAUUAAUUUAAAAUAAUUUUAUAAUAAAUAAAUUUUGUUAUUUAUGGAAAAAUAAACUUUUUUUAUUUUAAGCAUUGAACCAAUUUCUUCAAUUCGGUUCAUUUUAAACCAAAUUGAAUAAGAACCUUUCGAUUCUUGAAUUUCUCAACCAUUUGGUUAAUUGAACCACUAUUACAUCAUCUGCUCUAAUGUCUCCCCGAAUUGGGAGAGCUUGCGUUGCAAUUAGGGGAGACAUUAGAAAUCGACACAAUAAGAAAUUGUUCUGAAACUGGGUAUUGUAUUUAAAAUUCUACGGUGAACUGAGUGUUGUAUUUAAAAUUCUACGGUACUUAGAAGCUACUGGCCUUUAGUCUUUUGUCAUUAAUUAUUACUUGUUAGAAAAAUUCAGAUGCAGUAUUGUAUUUAAAAUUCCACGGUACUUACAGGCUAUGGCUAGCUAGCUGUUGGUCUUUUUUUUUUUUUUGAUUACAUGAGACUAUUGCUCAGAUUACAACUCAUAUACAUGAGACUAUAACUGAUAUUUACAAAUCAGACUAUUACUGGGACCAACUUACAUCAUUGCUAAUGGAGCUCUGCCCAGAUUUUAACCCUCACAAAUAUUCGAGGGAUGUCUAUUCCUCACUCAUGAGUAAGGAAGAAGACUACCUUCACUCAAAUGAAUUGAGGAAGAAAAUACCCCCACAAUGCUUUUGUGGGGGUUCGAACUGCUGCCCUCCAAGUUGGAGGGCAGCGGCCCUGGCCACUCGGGCUGAGCCGAGUGGUUCUAGCCGUUGGUCUUUUGUUAGUAAUUAUUGCUUGUUAGAAGGUAAAUGCUAAGUUACAUUUAAUAUAACUUACAACACAGACAUGAACAUUAUUUUUUUAAUUAUUUAUAUUUUGAAAAUUUAAUCAUAAAAAUUAUAUUAAAAAAUUUAAUUAUAAAUAUGUGUAAGUUAAAGUUUUUACUGUGACCUAAUUUUCUUAAUUAUCAAUCAUAACCUAACUUACUUCAGCUACAUGCCCCGCUCCUUAUAUACAUACAUAUAUAGAGGACCAAUUAUCUCAACUACUUAGCAACUGAUGAUCUAACAACCAUUUUUUAUAGAGCUUCUCAUGUAGUGCUCUUUACUUCUUAGAAAUAGCUUCCUCUGUUGGUCGCCUCGUAGGCUAUUUACCCCUCAAACCUACCGAGACAUUCCCUUUUGGUUUUGGACCCCAUGACCUCAAUAAUGGGAAUCGCCUCUUGGAACAGGCCUCACAUCCCUAUAUAUAUAUAGGGUUCCUCUAUGAUGCUGUAAAUUUUUUUACAGCAUCAAUAAUGUAUUAAUUGUGAACCAUUAGAUCUAAUCAAUGGUAUACAAUAUUUGUACUAAAAAAAUAAUUUAAAAAUAAUGGUAACCGUUCAAGUGGGUAGAUAAUUUUUGUAAAAUAAUUGUGACCACCCUUAGAGUUUGAAACAAUUUCACUUAAAUAGUAUAUUUUAUUUAAAAUUACUUUUCAGCCCUCCUUUAAAUUUGUAAUAUGAUAAUUUCUUUUAAAUAAAUCUUCCAAAAUCAGUUACCAUUAAGUAUAAAAUAUAAUAUCAGGUAGGCUAUUUAACACAAAGUCUUGUAAUAAUUUGUAUUGUAUGAAUUUAAUUACAAACCAUUAAUACCUAAACAAUAAUGAUAAUAGAAAGUAUUGCAAUAAACUAUUUUAUAUGUGUUUUAUUAAUAAUACUACAUGAGUCACAACAAAUGAGAAAUAUUUUAUUCACCAAUUAUUAUUGAAAAAUAUAUAUGUCUAUAUAACUAUAGAGUGAGAAAUAUUUUGAUUUAAAUUUUUAUCAAAAAAUUAAACUAUUUAUUUCAUGCUAUUCAAUGGUGGAGGAUAUAACAUUAUGAAAUGAUGCUUUGACUUUCAAUAUCAACCAUUAGAAUAUAAGAUAUUAGUGGCUCAAAUACUGUGCCAAAAUUUUAAGUUAAAGUAUCACAAACCAUAUCUUUAUAAUGGAAAUAUAAAAACAAACAAUGAUUUUUUUCCUCAUUUUGUCCAUUAAAUAUUAUUUGAUGUAAUAUUUUAUUUAUUGUCACUAUUAAUUAUCAUAAUAAAAGUAAUGACUCUUCGUAGCAUAUAAAUUUUAUAAUUACUAUCAAAGAAUAACAAUAAAAUAAUCUUUCAUGAUUCAUAAACUAAAGUUAAUUAGGAAUAUGUGUUAGAUUUAACUUUUAUGAAAUUAAAAAAGUGACAUUUGAAAAUAAAAUAAAAACAGGCUUGUGAAAGUUAAGUUUUAUAAGGCUGAGAUAAUUUCCUACCAUGUCAAUAAAAAUCUAAAAAUAUAAAUGAUUUUCUUUCAAUUUUUUUCCCACGUAAAUAUUAUUGAAGGCAAUAUUAUAUUUAUUGUCACUAUUAACUAUCAUAACAAAAGUAAUGACUCUUCAUAACAUAAAAUUUUAUAAUUACAAUCAAAGGAUAUCAAUAAAAUAAUCUUUUACGAUUCAUAAACUAAAGCUCAUUAGGAAUAUAUAUUCGAUUUAACUUUUAUGAAAUUAACAAAGUGAUAUUUGAAAAUAAAAUGAAAAUAUAUAAGCUUAUAAAACUUAAAACUCCUAACAUGUAAGGAUAUUAACUGUAAGAUAAAUAUAAAGUUAAGAAAAUAAGUAUGUUAAAUGGGUAUUAAAAAUAAUACAUACUUCAUGAUCAAUUAUACAAUGACCCUUACUAUUGUAUAAAAUAAUGAGUAUUUUAAUAUACGAUAUUAAAUUUUAUUAAAACAUGUGUGAUCAAGUAAUUUUUAUGUUACAAGCAAUCUCAACAAUGAGUUUAUUGAUGUAACUAUGACAUUUACUUAAGUAUAUGUAUUUAGUUGUGUUAUUUAUUAGUGUUAUAUCAUAUAUAAAUUUUGCAAUUGCAACUUAUUUAUUUGAUUUGUGUUAAAUAACCUACCAUUAUAUUUUAUACUUAAUGGUAAUAGAUUUUAGAAGAUUUAUUUAAAAAAAAAUUAUCACAUUUCAAAUUUAAAGGGGGAUUGAAAAAUAAUUUUAAAUAAAAUAUGCUAUUUAAGUGAAAUUAUUUCAAACUCUAAGGGUGGUCAUAGUUAUUUUACAAACUUCUCCGCCCCUUACACGUUUGUUAACCGUUUAUCAUUAUUUUUUAUUUUUAUUUUUACCUACAAAUAUUGUGUACCAUUGAUUAAAUCCAAUGGUGCACAAUUAAAAACAUUAUUGAUACUGUAAAAAAAUUACAGCAUCAUAGGGGAACCCAUAUAUAUAUAUAUAUAUAUAAGGUGCGAGCACCCUCAUUUAUUUUAAUGCGGACAUGCUAUUAAGUUGUACGAUUUUAUAGAGUUAUUUUUCAAUGUAUUAUAAAGUCAUGCAGUUUAAUAGUGUUUUUCAUUGAUUUAAUUAAGCUGUAUGGCCUAACAACAUGUAUGCAUUAAAAAAAAAAAAAAAGUGAGCACCCGCACUAGAGAAGGAUUUUCAAUGUUCUAUAAAGCUGUGCGGUUUAGCAGUGAUCUUCACAGACUCUAUUAAACUGCAUGGCUUAAUAACAUGUCUGCAUGAAAAAAAUAAAGGCACCUGCUCUAGAGAAUCACUACACACACACACACAAAUAAGCUUUUAAUAAGUCGAAAUUUUAGUAUUUUCAAGUUUAAUAUUACUAAUAUUUUAUUUUGAUUUGAUUAAUUUUAUUUAUUUUACUUUAAUGACUUAAACCUAAUGAUUGCUUACUAAACUUGUGUUUUUAUUUGUUUAAUUGUUAAUGGUAAUUAUCCAAAAUUUACUUAUUAAUAUUGUUGACAAUACUUGUAUAUUGAUCAAAGGAUAGAGCAAGGCAUUCAUCAUAGUGAUGACAAUUUUCCUACAACAGAAACAUUUUAUAUUAGAUUGACAUAUUUUGUGUAUUUGUUUUAAUGUAGAAACUUUAAUUUCUCAUUUACAUUGAUAAAAUCUAAAAUUGAGUAUUUUUAUGUGGAUUUUUAAGCUACUACUAUAACUUUGUAGUUUGAAUUAUAUAAUUUAAAUUUUUAUAUAUUAUUGAAAGUACUCUUUUAAUAUUUGUGAGUUUAAAUUUAAAUCCCGUUUAAAUCCCACAAGCAAGGGUGGCCAACAGGCCGUGCCAGCACGUUAAGUAAUGGCCCACAAGGGCCUGGCACGGCCAAUGGUACGAGGGGCUCGUGCCGUGCCCAAAAAAGUCCAUCAACUUUUUUUUUCCUUUAAGCUCAUAUGUCCAUCGUGCCUAAAAGUUCACGUGUCUGACGUGCUUUAUUAAGGCCCACGUGUUUGUCGUGUUUUUUUAAGCUCAUCAGCUUAAUAAUAAUAAUUUUAUUAAGAGAACAAUUAACAUUUUAUUAUCAAUUUAUCAGAAUUUCAUGACUAUAUAUUUAAUUUCACAAUAACCAAUCAUAAUACAACAAUACAUAAAUUUAAUUUCAUAGAUCAUAAUAAUGAUUAAUUAAAAUUAAUAUUAUAAUUCUGGAAUAACAAUUACAAGAAGUCACAACUACGAGAUAUUAAUUAUAACAAAUCAUAGGUCACAACUUAUCAUAAAAAUAUUUCAUUCAUAAUUUUAUUUUUUGUGUAUAAAUACGAAAAAUAUUUCAUUAUGAAACAUAUCUCUAUUAACUCUUAGCUAAGUUAUGAUUUCAUAAAUGAAAUAUUAAUUUUGUAAAUUUUUUAUUUAUCAUUUAUAAAAUCAUGAUAUUUAUAAUUUUAUUUAUUAAAAUCAUUAUAUUUAUUUAUUCAUUUAACAAGUAUUUUUUCAUAACCCUUUCAUCUGGUUACCCGCCUUUUGUUUAAUAUAUUCAUUGGACCGUUGCACCUGUACUCUAUUUCAGUUUAACUUCGUUCCCGUUCGUUGGAUUUAAAAAUCGCAUAUCUAAUGAUCCAAAACGGCAGGCUGUUUGUUACAGAUAUUGUAACAUAGGCGCUGCCAUAUAUAUGGGAUAAUGGUCCUCUACGAUAUUUACAUGCUACACAGCUAGCUAGCCUCUAGUCUUUUGUCACUAAUUAUUACUUAUUAAAAAAUUCAUUGUUAAUUUGUCAUGAAAAUAUAUAUGGGUCAUAAUCCUCUUCUAAUCUAAUUUUUUGAAGGUUUGCAGGAGAUUAACACCUUUGUAAUUUUCAGUUUUGUAUGGAUAAGUUUUUUAAAAUAAAUUUUAGGCCAUGUAGCAUUAGUCAAAAUAAUGGGUUUUGACUUUUGUGGACUAUAAAAUUCAUUUACCUGAACUAGGUUUUGUAUUAAAUUUUAUCAACUAUUUUUAUAUAUACUUCAUUAAUUUAAAUCAAUAUAUACACAUUUGGCUACUUUUGGCGAUAAUUGGCUCUACCAACAGAUGCCAAAACCAAUCUCAUGCUUUCUAUAUUUAAAACUUAUAAGUUUCAAAUCUACACAAAGAAUAAAUUUUAAUACAUAAAUUAACCCUUAAAAAACUCAUAUGCUAUCAUAGAUCAAGAUUUCCAUGGAAAUAAAAUUACCACAUAUUUACAAUUCUGACAGCAAUAUUAGGCAUCCUAAUAUGAAAGUCUAAAUUUGAAUAUCAACUGAUCAUGUGAUAUGAAAUACUAACUAGGCAACCCAAGAGGGGGGUGAAUUGGGAUUUUAAAAUUUAAGCUGAGCAAAUCACACAACAAUUUAAUCAAAUGUUUUAAUAGAAUCAAAAACAAUAAAUUCAAUAAAGCACAAUAAUAAAAGAGUAAGGGAAGAGAGAGCAAACACAAUUAUUUUUACAUGGUUCGGCAAUCCUCGCCUACGUCCACGCCUCCAAGCUCACCCGGCUUGAGGAUUUCACUAUCCAAGCCUCCCAAUGCUUCAAAAACACUUAUAAUUGACUUCAAAUGUGUCAAUCAACCUUUACACCAAGAGAUUAUCCUCAAUCUCUUAACCCAAGUGUAUCCCAACACUUACAAUCACUCAAAACAAAGAUUACAAAUGUGUUUUUCUCUCACACAAAAUAUAUGAUUACAAAUAUAUGCUCAAUGUGUGAAUAAAUUAAUCAAGAACGAAUUUAAAGUUCAAUAAAUGUUGUAUUCUCGAUUAUAAGCUCAAUGAUAAUGUUGUGAUCCACCUUUGUUUGAAUUUGAAUGAACUUAUUUAUAGUUGGAGCUGAAAACUAGCCGUUAUAAACUUUCUGCGCGAAAUCGGAUCGCCGUUAACUGUUAUCGGUUAACCGUUUUGAUUGGUCCAAGUGACCGUUGGGCUGAAUUUCAAAUAAUCGAUUAACCGUUUGGAAUUAUCGAAUCGCCGUUAAUUUCUAGAAUCCUGUAAAAAUAAAUUUGGCUUAACCGUUCUUACUAAACGAUUCAAGGUUAGCAAUUUGGAAAUAAUCGGUUCACCGUUUUCCGUAAACAGUUCAUCGUUAUUUUUCAGAGUCAUCAUUUUAACAAUACUUUGCAGCACAUGCUUUCUGGAAAUUAUCGGUUAGCCGUUUGCUACAGUGAAAUUAUUUUCUAAGAUUAUAGUUUUGCCCCAAAACUUUCUAUAAUUAUACUAUGGCCCAAAUCGUCAUAAAACUUUACAAAUAAGUCCAUUUCCAGAGUUUCAAAACUUUUUCAAUUUAGACCAUUAAUUGAAAACAACCAAUUUCAUAAAAUCAUUUUUCCAUUAAGUAUAAAACCUUUAUAUUAUGAAAAUAAUGAUUUAUUUAAAAUAAUUUGAGCUUUUAAAAACUUAAUCAUUCUUAAUCUUGUUUGUUAUCAUCAAAAUUAACAUUAUGGAUACAUAUAUACUAACAUGAUAUUCAUUCAUUCAAUGAUGAUUAAGCAGUUUUAUAAAAUAUGAAAUCCAUCAUUCAAUAAAUAAGUGACGCAUGCAUUGGGGCUUAACUCGGGACUUAAAUGUUAGAAUCCUUAACUUUAUUGAUAAUAUGAUGGAAAUAAAACUAACAAAAGUCUAUGUAUUUGGGUGGAAACUGGAAAUAGAAUACUUUCACACAAAAGUUAAAACUAAAAGAAAGUGCUAAGAUAGAAAAGUGGGUGUUAACCGGAGAGGAAGUAGAAGCUUCCUCCCCGCUGAAGUAUAUAGAUGCUUUUGCUGUGAAGCAAAGAUGAGCACAGAGAGAGACGGAAAGAUAAAAGUAGCUUCUACUUCUUAUAAGAUUCCACUUAAUUUUGCACAAAUAACUAUCAGGCAACUAAUUCAAAUAAGUGAAGCUCUCAAGGACGAAUAUACCAAUAAAACAUAAUUUUUUUUUUUCACUGCAAUAUGAAGACAUCAUUGCUGGUUUGACUUAAUAAAGUUUAAAGCAGUCAAGUACAAGGAUUCGAACAAAGUCCUACAUGGAAUAUAAACCAACAGAAAUUGCCAUAAACAGCAUAUAAAUAACGACCUUCGAGAUAUGAUAAAACUCACUCACCUGGACGCUUGUAUGAGUGAUCAAUGAGGCUCAUGUUCCAGAACUGUCCUGCAUUGCAAUUCUUGGAGGGAUGCCCCAAGGUCUUCUCAAGCUAGGAGAGCCUACCUUGUAAUUUGUUGUAUGGAAUGCGGGCCCAGCCAAUUCUGCACAAAAAAUUAUUUCUAGGGCUUUUGACCUGAUUAUAAUAAUAAGUAAUUGCGUAAACAUCUUUGCAUGCAUGCAUUCUAGAACCAUUAGUGAUUGGCGAAGAACCCGCGAACUCUGUCGUUUGGAAAUCUUACCGACUGGUAUUUCCUUCUGGUAUUUGAUUUCAAAUACUCUAUACAGUACCCAAUAAGCUGUUGCAUUAUAAUGCAGCAUAACUCUAAAUAAAGAAACGAAAGCAGCUCCAGCUUCAGCUUUAUAUCUUAACUUUCCUUUAAUUUCUCCCACACCGCCCACUGUUGGUGUAUCAUUUUUCCAACAUGUAUCAAGAGAUGAGUGAGAAGUUAUAUGGGCCAGUGUGCAUUACUGGAGCCCUUAUGAUUCCAUUAGCCCAUUAUUAUUAUUCAUGUGGAUUUAAUUUUAUCAAUUAUUAAUGAAAUUAAUCCAAUCUGAAAAGUUAUUUUAUGAUAGAUUUAUUCUAUUAAUUGGACAAACAACUAUCAGCCAACUAAUCUCAAAUAAUGAGCGAGGCUUUAUGCUUCAAAGCAAUUCUACUCCUAAGUUUUAGUACUUUUUAUUUCAAUAUGAAGACUUAAUUGGUUUGAGUUACUGUAAGCAAGUUUUUGUUUAUGCUUAGAUUUUAUGGACUAAUUAGGAUAUUUUGUUUUCUGACGCUUAAGUUUGUAUGCUAAAAUGAUUGGUUGAAAUAUACACAUAACAAGUAUUGAAUAGAAAAGGAAUAGUGCUCUAGAAGCGUCCAAGACUUUUUAAUAAAAUAAGGCAACAUUCACAAUAAGUACUAAAACAUAACAUAAUAUAUUAGUGUAAAAAUUGUAAAAAAUGCUUUUUAACUAAUUAAAUGUGGCGAUACUCAUAGUAAGCAUUAAAACAUAACAAUUAUUAAAGGUCAUGUCACUUCCCAAUACGUCUUUGUUUGACUUAGCCACAUAAAUUUCACUUCAGAGAAAGAUAAUGGACUAAAAAUUAAAUUUGGGCUAUGUCCUCUCCUUUCAAAACAAGAAGCUACCUUAAUUUAAGGUAGAAUUUUUUAUAUUUUGCAAGUGCAAAUUGACCUAAAAAUUAUUAAAUGUCAGCAAUCAACAUACUAUAAAUUGGAAUGCAAUGCAUGAAAAUAAAUAAGAAACACGAAACCAUCCGAACAAAUCUUGAGACACUUAAUUAGCAAAAGUAUUAGCAGCAUCAUUACUCCCUAUGAUACCAUUACGUAUAAUGUCGAGUUAUAAUGUCGAGUUAUAUUGUGACGUAUUAUAUCUUUAGUGGUUUAUCAAUGGUUAAGAUUAAACCUCCUACUUGUACAGUUCUAGAUCAAGAGCAUAAUAUAAGCGCAUAAUCACAACAUGCACUUACAAAUUAAAACCAAGUGUUCUGUGCAUGCAUUGCAUGCAUAUUGAAAUAAUUAUGGAUGACUUCCAAGAGGUGCCUAUGGCUAUGGAGACGACGCGAAGGCAAUAGAUAAUCUUUUAUGUGACCUGCUGUAUGAUCAAUGGGUGGAUAUUUACGAAGAAGCAAUAUGCAGCGGCAUAUGUACAACGUUAAUGGUGCGUUUACUUCAUGGCAUGGGAAUGCGGUGGAAUGAAAAUAGAAUGUGAAUGAGAAUUGACUGGAAUAUGAAUGAGGAAUGAAAAUGAGAUUUCAAUGUUUACUUGGCAAAAAUAAAUGAAAAUGGGAAUGUGGUGAAAUGUCAUUGACGUGUUUACUUGGCAAAAUAAAUAGGAAUGAGAAUCAAUUUACUAAAAUACCCAUAGUGUUAAAUAAUGUAAUUUUUAUUAACUAGAUACAUGUAUAAAUAUUAGGGAAAUUAUCAUUCGUAUACCCUAUAUUUGUUCUGUUAUCAAAAAUACUACAACACUUUGAGGGUGUAUCAAUCGUUCACCCUAAGUUGACGAAAUGUAUCAGCCGACCACCAAACUGUUAAUUGCCAUUUGAAAGUUAACGGAAUUACAGUGAAUUGAGGAUUUUACCCUUGAAAAUUAUCACUUGUAUACCCUUAAAUUCUUUUUUUAUCACUUGUAUACCCUUAAAUUAUCACUUGUAUCAUAUGAAAAGACCAGAUUACCCUUCUGGCGUUAUCAUAUUUAAAUGGCAACUAAUGAUACAUUUUGUCAACUUAGGGUGGACGAUUGAUACACCCUCAAAGUGUUGUAGUAUUUUUGAUAAUGGAGUAAACUAAGGGUAUACAAAUGAUAAUUUCCCUAAAUAUUAUUAGUAAAAUGAUGUUAAUUAAAAUAAUAAUAAUAAUAAAUGCUAAUAAUGAUGAUAAUAAUAAUAAUAAUAACAAUAAUAAUAAUAAUCAUUAAUAAUAACUAAAAUAAUAAAGUUAAUAAAAUUUAAUAAUAAUAAUGACAUUUAAAAUAAUAAAUUAAUUGUGAUUUGAACAAGGGUAAUUCAAGAAAUAUAAAAAAAUUAGAGGAAUAUAAAAGUAAACAUGGUUUCAUUCUCAUUCCCUCAUUCACAUUCCCAACCUCCCCAUGGGAAUAGAAUUUUCAUUCCUUAUUUUCAAAUUAUGUGGGACCUACAUAUUUUAUUCCUAUUAUUAAAUUACAUUUUGCCAAGUAAACAUAGGUAUUAUUCACAUUUCUUCAUUCUCAUCCCCUAAACCCUUAAGUAAACACACCAUAAAAGAAACAAUAGCUGCUUCGUCUUCACUUCUCCCUCAUUUCUAUAGAUCCUUUAAUUACUUCAAUUUUGAAGUAUCCACUGGGUCGUCCUCUCUUUGAGAUCGUGCAAAUUUGAAGUUAUAUAUAGAUGUUUAUAUAGGCCAAUUAAUUGCAUCCAGCCAUCCAUGCAUUCCAUUCAAAAACAUGAAGCACAAAUCUUAGAUAUUUUGGUUGAAGUUCCAACCCAAAAAUAACGCCGAGUACAAGAAAUGUUGGAAACCACGGCUACUUUUGGAAUUGUACUACUGUUGUACGAAUAAAAAGUUAAUUAAUGAUAUUAUGAUUAUUUUGAUAAAAUAAUAAAAAUCAAACAAUUGUAUAUAGUAUAAAAUCACCUUAGUUUCUAUAUUAAGUAUUUAUUAAACACUUUAAAGAUACAAUUAAGUGAUCAUAUUUAGAUCUGAACUCACUUGAACUUUUAAAAAUAUCAUGUCAUAGGUAUUUUUGUAUUUGGUAGUAGUACAUGAGUAUAAGAUUUAACUCUUUUUAUUUAUUUAUUAACUACCAAUAACCACUUGAAUUUUUGUUCAAUAUAAAAUUAGAUCAUGAAAGAACCAUGAUGCAGCCAUAACUCCUCAACAACACUAUAGCAUAUAGGUUGGUAUUUCAAAAUACCAAUAUCUUAACCUUAAAGUGGUAACAAACUCAUGAAAUGAAUAUCCACGCCCAGGAGUCCAAGACCAAUUGAUUAUCCCAUAUCAGAAACCUCUUGCAAAGUGAUUAAUAAUGCAACCUAAUGCUACUUUUUAUUAUGUUGCUAGAUAUUGACUGUAUUACUUUAUAUAAUAUAAUGCAGUAUACAAACAACAUGUCAAAAGCAACUUCAAUGUCUAAACGAUGUUAUAAAACUUUAAGAUCAAUUUAGUAUUACUGUUCAAAUAGCGAUUUUGCGCAUUUAUUCUGGGAAAAUGUCUUUUGUGUUCUUAGAGUAUUGCUCAUUCACUAUUUACGUGACAAGUUCUAAGAAAAUGUGUUUUGUGUUCUUAGAGUAUUGCUUCUUCACCAUUCAGUCUUGUCACAUGAAUAUAAAUAUUAUCAUAAUUCAUUGAAGCAUACGUAUUAAAAAGAAUGGAAAAGUAGCACCCAAGACUUCUCCGCAUUCUAGAAGCAUUUUCCCUUUGCACAUGACACGUGCUGCCCACAUACAUAAACACACAACAAAGGCAUCAUAUAAAAUUUGAGGGUAUUUUUGGAAUUCAGAAAAAAAGUGUCUUUCUGGGCUCUGUUGGGCUAAAAAUAUUUUACCUCAAAAUUGGGAAGAGUUCCAGCUUAGAACACCUCUUCAAAAUUUUGUUUUUUGUUUUUAAAUAUCCUUUUUUAUUUAUGAAAUACAAACUUAAAUAUUAAAAUUAACGUCUUUCCAUAAAAUUUCACCCUUAAAAAAAGUAUUUUUUCUAUUUAUAAAAUACAAAAAAAUCCUAAAAUUUUUAAUUUUUUUCAUUUUUUUAUAUGAUUUCUAUCUCUAUAAAUUAAAUUCUUAUAAUUUUUUUAAAAUAUAUACAGCAUAGGGGUAAAAUAUUUGUUAAAAUAAUAACUUAUUUAAGUGGUUAAAUAAGGUGUCUAUUUAGUAUAGGUUAUCUAAUGAUUAUAAGUACUUAUUUAAUUCCAUAAACUCUUUCCAAUUUUUUUUUUGUUGUUUAGUUGUUUUUAUAGUAGAGUUUUUAAAAAUUAAAUAAAUUAUUUUACCUCUACUAGUAAAAUCUUAAAUUUUAGACUUUUGAAAGUAGAGAUUAAAAAGUUUAUUUAAAAUGUCAAAAUAUCUAAAAUGAACUUGUUUGAUAAUGUUAUUUCAUUCUUUUUAUAAUUUAACUUUUAAAAAGCUUGUAUGUUAGAAUAAUCUUAUAAUUUUUUAGAAAAGCUUUCAUUGAUAACCAAAUAAUUAAUUUAUUUUUGUGAAAGUUCUACUAAUUAAAGUCUAUUUAAAUAAAUUUUUAUUUGAAAAGUUAUGAGAAACCGGCUGAAAUUCUAUUCAAAAUAAGAAAUGAAUUAAUUUAACAUUAUUUAUUUAAAUAAUUUAUGUGAAACAAACAGUGUUUUACAAGGGAUUUUAAGGGCUGUGAAUAAACGACCCAAUUUGAAAACUAAUAGCCCGAAAUAUGAAAUAAAAACAAGGCAUCCUAAAAACAAAAUUUUUAAACAAAUUUGAAGGCUGCUGCUGCUGCUGCUGACACAUUCAUCAACCCUUUAUCUUGCCACCGCCAAGGGUUCCAGCCGUGUUAUUUGUUAUAAUAAUAUUGCCGGCAAUUGUCAUUCAUCAUCAUCACUUUCUUUUAAUCCCCUUUAGUAUCUAUCAGCCACCAGCAUAUAUAGCAUCCGUCGAUUAGGGUUUCAUCAUCAAAACGACCAAAUGGGGAAGAACGAAAAGACAGGACUCGGAAGAGCCCUAGUGAAGCACCACAAUCACAUGAUCCAAGAAACCAAAGAAAAGGGAAAAUUCUACAGGAAGCAACACAAGAACGUUCUUGAAUCCGUCACCGACGUCAACGACAUCGACGCCGUCAUUCAACAGGCCGAGGAAGCCGAGGCCUACCCCGUCCCUAUCCCCCUCAUCAAUUUGUGAGUUCCUCCUUCUCUUUUCUUUUUUCUUUUUUUCAUUAAUCAAUAAAUGAAAUUAUAAAGUUUAAUCUAAUUUUUAUAAUAAUAAUAAUAAUAAUAAUAAUGGGUAUUUAGAGAUGAGGGGUCCAGGAGUAGUACCAGAGAGAUGAUGAUGACGGCGGAGGAGAGGAAGGAGGAGGAGGCGUUACAUGCUGGCAACCUUAGAGUGCCACGUAGGCCGCCGUGGAAUCCUUCAAUGUCUGUGGAGGAGCUUGAUGAUAAUGAGAGACAAGCUUUUUUAGCUUGGCGGCGGAGUCUUGCCAGGUUAGCUCUGUUUACAAUCGGCCUUUUUUUUAAUAAUUGAUUUUUAAUUCUUAUUUUUGUUUAUGCGGAG
RNAcentral lists this long non-coding RNA (48402 nucleotides) under Citrus maxima (pomelo). RNAcentral describes it as "long non-coding RNA (CMAX_LNC003435)". The record is from RNAcentral. Lineage: Eukaryota; Viridiplantae; Streptophyta; Magnoliopsida; Sapindales; Rutaceae.